AAGUAUUGUUGUAAUUGGAGAAAAAAAGGAAAAAAGCAAAAGGUACUAUUUUGUAAAUUUUAAUGUGCUGAAUUUUGUGAAGGUGGAUUUUACAAGUUAGCAGUAUUUGUGAACAGUUGUUUUGUAUGAACUGCAUUUUAUAUACAGAUUAUGGUAUACUAUGGAUAUUGGUUUUGAUUCUGGUAUGUUUUGAAACACACAAGUGUUAAAUUUUAUAAGAGUUAUAUAUAUAUAUAUAUACCUUUCCUUUCCCUUCAUUUUUUUUUUUUUUUUUUUUUUUUUUUUCUUUUCAUUUGGGAAUGUAACAACCAAAGUACUUUUCAGGUGUACAAUGGUGCAACAACUCAUCAAUAUUAUUAUCUUGAUUUGUUAUAUCAGCUUUUUGCCAAAAACUUGGUUCAUAGACACAAUUUUCAAACAUUUGGAAGGAAUUGCCAUUUGCUUUAGUAGGAAAAUAUUUUGUGUAAUCUUCUAAAUACCAAGAGUCUUUUAUAAUAUCAUAAAUUGCAAUAAUGUUGAUAUCAAUUACUCUAAUGCAAAUAAGACCAUUCCCCCCACUACACUCAAAUUGCUUAGAUGAAUAAUCUAUUGUUUGAAAUACAUCAUUAAAUAUGCUUUGAGGCAUUUUUGUUAGAAGAUGAUAGUUCCCACUUGGAAUGGGAUUGCCUUUAUAUCCUACCUUAAACUCAAUUCCAAAUAUUAAUAUUGUGUCGGCUAAUAUAAUACUUCUAGUCACUGCAUAUAAUAUAGGCAUUGUUGAUUGCCAUCUAAAGGGUUGUAUGACAAUAGGACAUUGUAAAUGGUUUUCUUUGGUCCCAAAAGGAUUAAAAGGUAAAGCAAGAGCAAAGUCAUCAUCUUCAACUAUAGAAACAUAGUAAAUAACUGGAUUACAUGUUUCAACUAAAACUUGUUGAAGCAUUGGUGGACGAGUUGAAUGACAAGAAUCUAAGAUACUUGUUAUGGUACUUUCACUUGAACUUUCUUCACACCAUAAUUUUUUUCUUAGGUUAUCACAUUCAUCCUUAGUUGGAAUAAUUUUAAGGUUUUUUGGAAGUAUAGAAUCUCCUAUAAUUGGUUUAAUUGUAUUUGGAAUUAAAGGAUGAGAAUUUAAUAAUUUUUCAUCACAAUCAUUAUUUGAUUUUUUGAUUUUUGAAUGGUCGAUAUUGUAAUCUUGGUUAUUUAAAGUUGUAGGAUUUUCAUUUCCAUUUAAACCAAAAUCUUCUAAUUGGAAUUCUUCAAAGUGUUCUUCUACCAAAAUUCCUCCAAAAAAAACUACUAUCCAAGAAUCUUUUUUCCAAAACCCUAUUCCACUUCGACCAUGUUUUGAAGGCAUCCAUCGUGAUAUAAAUGGUAGCGGUCGAAGCCACCAUCCUUUUUCCUUUUUAAUGGAUUCAUAUAUACAAACUACAAGUUUUUCUUUGUUGAGCUCAUCUUCAAAUUUGCUUUGGUGAUGAUGCCCCACCACAACAACUACAUAGUCAUGACAAAAUUCUUCUAAUUUUUUAUUGUAAAGAUCUGAUUCAAUUUCCUCACUACUUUCAGAGCUGUCAUUUGUUGUAUUAGUUCUACAAAAAACAACUCUUUUUUGUUUUUUGUUUAAGGGAUGAGGUUCGCAAGGAGUCAUUAUUAAACAAGCAUUUUUUUCUUGUAGGAUAUAAUAAGGAAUUGGAGAUAAAAAAUAAUAUUCCUGUGUAAGUGGGUUUGUGAUAAGUAUAAUGUCUUGUCCUAAUGGAUAUUUUUGCCGAUCAUAGUCAUCUUCUUCAUCAUGUGUUAAUGGAAGGAGCCUUUCAUCUAAAGUGGGUUUUGAGUGACAAGGUUGUACACCCCCACAACAAACCAACAAUCCACCAUCGCCCGCUAAAACCUUUGUGACAUGUUUAGGAAGGUAAUUCAAAGACGGGAAUGCAUACCAUUUUCUUUUUUCAUUGUGAUUGUUUGAAUAUUUUGCGCUUUUGUAUGCGGACAUUCUAAGAGAACCGUAAUCAUCGGGUUGGGUAUUCAUGCACAUAAUGAUUGGGCAAAAACUUUCAUACAAACGGUUUUGUUCAUUUUCAAAUUGAGAAGGCUUCCACUCAGUUAAUGUGCAAUUCAAGUUGUAAUGUACUUGAAAAACAGGUUUUCCACGAUCCAACUUGUUCCAUAUUUGAUCAAGAAUAGAAAGUGGAGCCAUACAAAACACUUCGGCCACUCCACAAGGCAUAAGGUGGUUCCAUUUUAUGGAUGAAUCCAAUGCAAUACGCUCAAGAUAGUUAAGAUCAAUUUCACUUAGAGUGUCAUUAAUGAAUAAAUUCUUUUUUCUUUUACUUUGUCUUGAUGCUCUUUGAGCAUUUUCUUUUUCAAUGUCUAAUAGUUGUAUAUCAUAAGUAUCACCUCUCAUUAUGGUUACAGAAUUGAAAUAUGUGUAAAUUGAACAGAAGCACAAAACAAACCUGGAGAUUAUUCAAGCUAAUUGCAUGGAGUGAAUCUCAUAGGAGAAAAAAAAGUAAAAAUCUGAAAGAAUAGUUGUAUAAAAAGAAUUCAUGCUUUGAAAUCAUCUAAAUCAAUAAAUUUCAUCUUGUAUAAAAUUAAAUCGUUGAGAUGUAUACCGAAAAAAAUAUUUUUUCUAUGUUGGAUUUUCUUUAUAGCUUUUAAAAUUCUACAUUUUCGGUAAAUUUUACAAGAUACAAUGGUUUGUUGUUUUUCAAAAAAAAAUAAAUAUAUGUAAUUUUCCAAGAAUGAUAAAUUACCAGAGGUUAGUCUGUCUUAGGAUAAAGAUUAAAUUCAUUAAAUUUGCAAUGAUAAAUUCAUCUUAAAAUAAAAUAUUAUCAUUUUAUUCAUAAAAAUAAUUUACCGAUUUAUUUAUCUGUUUAUUUAUUAUGAGUUUCAUACCAAGUUUAUGAAUAUGUUACUUUGGAUUUGAGAGUGCAUUAAAGGUCACGUGUCUUGAGAUUUGUCAAGAUGUUUGAUGCAUUCAUUUUAUCAUAAGACAUAACCUUUGAAUUCCAGAUGUCAUUGUGGAACUCUUUGAGACUUGUUUAUAGAUUACAGAUAUCAGUGCAGCUUUAAACAGCUCUAAUUUAAAAAAAUAAUUUAGUAUUUGGGUAAUUCUUUUAUGCAUACACUCACUCAUAAAUUUUUAUAAUUAUAAAAUUAAAGCUCAUGUAAUUCUUGACACCUCAUAAUAUUUACUUAUUUUAAAAUUUCCUGGUUUGUUUUAUCUUCGAAUGUUUUAUUGAUUAUGUUCCAUGACUAUGUAAAUUUUGUUCUUAAUUACACAUUUCAAAUUAUAUCCACGGAUCCUUUAUUUCUAGUUUAUAUUUUCUUUAAUACCCAUUUCUUUAAAGACAUAAAUCAUGAAUGAAAAGAAUAAAAUAAAACAACCUUUUGUAACCAAAUUUUGACAGUCUUUUCUGAGAUGAUUUGGUUCUCAGUAAAUUAGAGUAUAUAGGGACUACUGUUACCUAUUUACGACAUAAAAUAUCUCAAGUUUGACUGAGAUAUAGAUUUGAUUGCAAAAGAAACACAGUAGUUCAAAUUUUUAAUUAUAAUUUUAUCAUUUUAGUAACUAUUUAUGUAUUUUUGACAAUGGUAUCAUUUGAAUGGAUGAUUAGUGUAAAUUAGCAAUUAUUUUUGUUUUUAGAUUAAUAUGUGAUUCAGGAUUUGAUUUCCUGUUUUGAAUACAAUGCAAAACUGAUUGAUUCUCACUUUUAGAAAUUUAGAAUUAACAAAAAAAAUUAACACGUUAUAGUUUUAAUUAUCUCAAAAUAAAAGAAAAGCAAAAAGCAAAAAAAAAAAGAAAAAAAAAAGAAGCAAAAACAAAAACAAAAAAAACAAAUUAUCAAUUUCUAUUAUAUUAAAAUUUUCAAAUUUGAAAAUAUUAUUUAUUUUUGAUACUCCAUUUUAAUUAUUUUUUUAAGACAAUAAUAUUGAGUAUGCUUUUUUUCUUCCAAGGCUUUAAACCAGUUUUAAAUGUAAAAACUUUCAAUGCUGAGUGAAUAUCCCAGUAGAAAAUUAUGAGGAAACACGUUUAUUAGAUUCUUCAAUUUCAUGUGAUCUUAUUUUUACACUUCAAUAUCUAAAACAUCUUUUACAUCCUUCAAAAUCUGUCCAUAAAGCAUUGAAUACAGUCUCUAAAUUAAAAUCAUACAAAAAAGGGGAGGUUAUAUAUAUAUAUAUAUAUAUACAAAUCUAAUCUCAGAAUACACUUUAAGAUUUUGUAAGACUACUAUUAUAUCAAUGUUUAGUAUAAAAAUCUUAUGCAUAUUAAACACUUCUAUUGAUUGUAAUAAUAUUAAAUCAGAAUUCAAAAUGUCAUUAAUUUCUAUUAUCUUAAUAUUUACCAUAAUUACCACCUAGUACUUCUAUUAAAACAAGUCUAAACAUUUAAAGUUUUCUCUUUUAGAUCUAAACCCACAUAUACUCAACAAUCAUGAAUAGUCAAUGUUUACUACUACAAAAUCUACAUAUGUCUACAAUCUAAUGUAUUUGUUAUUUUAAUUUUUUUCCCAUGUUAUAACAUAAAUAUGUAACAUCUAAUGUAUAUAUUUUAAUUCUCACCUUAUCCAUUUCCACCAACUUCAUUCUCAAUAUAAUCUUUACAAUCCAACAAAUCUUAACCAUAUCCAUCUUACUCCCUUAUUAUCUUAAAUAUUCAUUCAACAUACUCUUGCUAUUACCAUAAUCCUCAACACUAAUGAACUAUCCUCUAAUUGUCUUCUUAAAAGAACCUUGCAUUAAGUGUUUUUGUUUCAUCUUAUCCAAUUAAUUAUUCUCAUACUCAACUCAUUUUUCUGUCAAUCAAUUAUUAAAUAUUUAUUUAUUCAAUUUGACCUCAAUUAAACAAUGUAAAUAUUUUACAAUUGUGUGUUUCGUAUUAAUGAGUAUUCAUCAAUAAUUUACACAGUAAUAUACACAAAAUAAUAUAAAACAUAGCAUAAAUGUACAACUAUAAUUUAACUAUUAAACAAUCUAAAUCACAACAUAUUGGAAAUCAACCAAGAAAAAACCUAAGGUAGAUCAUGGAUGUCAAACAAGUUGUGAGGAGAGACGAAACAUUUUGUUGGAAUUCACCGUUCUCUACCCUAAUCUAUAAAAGGUCCAAACAUGAAUCAUCAAAUACGAUACGUUAGAGGAGCAUCCCUUGAUCUGACAAUUGGAAAUUUGGACAACCCUUUGAAAAAAACAUUCCAAAGGCCGAAAAACAGCAACUUAAAUGGAGAGCUUACCACGAGGCAGUCCACUGGAAGGAAUACGUAGAAACAAAAGUUAAAAUAAUGGGCAUUACCAAAUAAUAGUGCUGCUUCCAGAAAAAGAACCACAUAUAAGUAAACCACAAACAAGUAAAAACGUUCAGGACUCGAUAAGCAAAAUUAGAUUAUCAGAUACACACAGUAAUCAACGACAGUAUAGUAACUCCAAUCAAGUAGAAUGCAAGUUGCAAUACAAGUAACAGCGGAAAGUAUAACUAAAGUGAAUAUGAGGUGAAGUGAGUUGAACUGGGUGCUCUCGUUCCCUAAUGUACAUUAAUUAAGAUAGGCAUAACUACUCUGCUGCAGACCACCACCUAGACAUUUCACACCCAACCGUCCUCAAUCUCCUCCAAGCAAACCUCUUGCAUACGCAAGUGUGCAGAAUUAGGAUAUGUGUACCACCGCACUCCCAAAGAUACUACUCCAUUUUCCAAAAUAACUAUUGCUAAUAUGUGAAUGCAUUGUAUGCAUGCAUAUGAGUAUGUGUCUAUGAGGUCAUGCUCAACUUUCUGCUGGACACAAACUCCAGCUACGCGACGAACCAUUUCGGUUUCCCACUUGGUAAAGCUGUUCCAAAGAGCAGAUCCGCUCAGUCGCUGUAAUCCCUCAACAGAGCCUCAGGAAGAUAAGGCAUCAGUUUCAAAGGUGCUCACUAUAGGUAUUUAAUUUCCAAGCUCACGAGCACCAUUUCGCAUUAUCCCUGGAAGCCCCCAACAGAAACACAAAUCUCAGAACCGUACUCGAAGUCAAUGAAUGCACAACCACUGGCAUUCGUACUACGUACAUGUAAACCAUGCACAUGAGCACAAGACGUUGGUUUUAGCAUCCUGAAAGAAGUAACUACUAUUGAAUCAGUCAAGUAACUUCUCAAGGUUCAAAAUCUGCUAACCUUAGCCCCACGAGGUGGUGUUCCAGGUCGAGAACCAUUGCUGCCAUAUGCAACAAAUUUUUGUUUCUUUUCUGCUGGUUUAAGGAUUUGAAACGAGCACAAGAGAGAAUCAUCUACACUCAUCAUUGCACCCGCAUUAUCAAAUUCACCACAAUAAUUUGGUGCAGAGAAGAUAGUGACCAGUUGGCGCUUAGCGAAAAACUCGUAACCAUCCUCCACAACCUGUGCAUGGGACAUCCCGCACAGAUCAGCAUUAUGUACAAAGAAUCUAACCUACAGCAGCUGAAGAGAUCUACCAACAGCAUGAAAAGACAACUGGUCAAACUAAGUCUGUACGAAUUCAAGACUCUAAAAGCAACUCCACACAUGCAACUUUCUGAACUCAUGAAUGCAACACACCAACUUCAAAGUUAAGUGCAACAAAGUGCAAAAAUAAAUCACAUCCUCCGAAAUGUUGAAAUAGAAAUUUAAAGGCUACCAGAUUUAAAGAAUGCAUCACAGUACUUGAUGGGCUCGACAGAUGAGAUCCAAGUCAUGUUUUUGUAAGAACUCUGAGACUGUGUCUGGACCAAAUGUAAAAGAGACACCUCGGUCAUUGUCUCCCCAUCUAGCCACAUCUUUAUCAGGGUCCGCCCAUAGAAGGUCACACAACAAGCCUGAAUCAGGAACAUCUGUAGGGCGUGCUAUCUUCUUAAUCUGGUCCAAGUUCUUAAGUUCUGGAGAAAGGCCUCCAUGCAUGCAAAGAAUUUUCUCAUCAAUCAAGGCAGCCACGGGCAGGCAGUUGAAACAAUCCGUGAACGUCUUCCACAGCCGUACGUUAAAACGACGUUUACAUUCAUCGAAGAAGCCGUAAAUUCGGUUGAUUGAUGCACAUUCAUGGUUACCUCUUAACAAAAAGAAAUUCUCUGGGUAUUUGAUUUUAUAUGCCAAGAGGAGACAGAUGGUUUCUAGACUCUGUUUUCCUCUGUCAACAUAGUCUCCUAAGAACAAGUAAUUUGCAUCAGGUGGAAAGCCACCAUAUUCAAACAACCUCAAAAGGUCAGAGUAUUGACCAUGGAUAUCACCUGCAGCAUAAGAACGGCGCUUAUCAGCCAAUACUUCGAGGAACAGCAUGAAACACAAAACGACCAGGAGCUUCUCAAAGAGACUAGAUUCGUCGCAGCCAAUUAAUAAAUUCAGCAAUUGCUUUGCAAUAUGCUCAUCAACUUACCUCAUACAUACGAUUAUAAACAGGAAAUUAUCUAUUCUCUGAGUAUUCUAAUGUUUUGUAAUUUGAGAUAUUGUGAGGAAUCAAGCCAGAGUGAUAUAAUCUUCUUGUCAUAUGUAAGACCAGUAUUCUCUUGAUGUCAUGCGUGAGACUGGUAUAUUGUUCCUAUGCCUUAACUGCGUAAGCAAGAAAAUGCGUACGAAGAACAUCUAUAUUCAACUAUCAUGUUCACCGGUGUCUGCAUGCUACAAAAUGAACUCAGUGUAGGUUGAGGGGCGUACCACAGAUCUUAAUUGGGGCCUCCAGCUCAAGCAGAUUAGGCUGGGACAAAAAUAUGUCCUUGGAUGCAACGCAAAGCUGGCGAAUUUCAGCCUCUGAAAGCUGCACUUGCUUGCCCGGCCGCUCCGUCCGCACAUCGAGCAGUCGCCCUAUAAUGUCAUUUAAUACCGCGCUAUCCAUCCCCCCUCUCUAUCACUUCUCCCAAAUUUUAAAGACCUCGCCUUCUCCGCAUUCACCUUAGGUAGACUAAUUCGGGCAGACACUACUGGACCAGACUCUGCACGACAAAGAUGGAUAAUCGUUAAAAAAACCAACCAUUCAGGCACAUUAAGGCCUACUACAUCCCAGGAACACACAUUGAAAAAGCAACAACUUGUCUACCAGAAGCGACGGUGAAGAAUAUACAAGUGGGAGAACGUUUGUUAAUACCUGCACUACGCACAGAGAUUCGACUGCCUAUUCUACGUGAUAAAACCACGAUACAUUUACAACGACAUGGAGGUCGCAUGAGCCUUCCUGAACUAGACGACAUUACAAUAACCAACGAAUAAUAUUAAGAAUUGGGCGAUAUAGGGUGCGUACAACACGACAGACGCAUUGGAAUUAGAUCACUCUACAUUCUGAUAAUCGAUCGAAACUAAAAGAGAACAGGUUUGAAAUGACAAUCGACGAAUGGUAGCUACAUUUAUGUGCGGCACGAUGUUAGGAUUUGACAUAAAUAAAACUUCUAAAAACCAAUCAGAAUAAAAGAUCCCAAUGGUCAACGCGUAUUUCAUUUCUAUAAAACCUCUACAGAAAUACACAAAUGCAUGAGAAGAAAGAAAACUUAAAUAACUCCGCAGGUCAAGUUUUAUCAUGACUAAUAGGUUGUACCCUUUACAUUAUGAGCCCAUUCAACCAUCUUUCGCGAAGAUGAUGAUGUCAUGUGAAUUAUGCUUGAAAAGACCUAUGGGAAAGAGGUAGGCGGGAAAGAAGUCCAAGGAUGUUACAGCCGCCAACAGUAGGGAUGUCUCCAAAACCCGGCCGCCACUAGAGACAAGUGAAUGUUGAGGAGUGGUUAGAAUGGAAGACAACGUGGAAAUCCCAGCAUAACUUUGGAGGAUAGGAAUACAGAAGUCAGGGUGGCAUCAGACCCAGUGAAGUAAAGAACAGGCUUGCAGCGGGAACAGCUUCGCAAAAGCGUCAGGCAAUUCGAGUUCAAAAGUCGGGAAAUUAUAAUGGUAGUUUUUUACAUGGAAAAUUGGAGGUUGUCGGACACAGUUCAAAUGCCGAGCAACAGUGCCCACCCAUUAAGACGUCCUCAAAAACAAAAACAAGAACAACAAAAAAAAAUAAAGAAAAAAAAUAAAAGAAAAAAAAAGGGAUCAUAACAAUGGCACAACUGUGUGAUUUUUUUUAAAAAUAAAUUCAGAAUUACAACAUAUCCCACUCAAGGAUAGGAGCACCCAACACAACUAACUACUGACUUAAACUCAAGCACAGUGGAGAAACUUUCAUAAACUGCAUGUACUCAUCGAAGUUCACAUGACGAAACACCGCUGAGCGGAGUCCGCAGAGAAUAAAAUUUUUAGAACAAUUAAAAGAACAAAAACAAAAAAGUGCUCUAGAGCUUCGCAUCCCUAUUUAUUGCGAUACUGAUGCUAAACCACAGAUUCAACUUUACGCGUUUCUCAAUAUCGCUACCAUAAGAAUUAUACUCGGUCCCAUGGUUAGACUAAAAGAUCGUGAGCGCAUCCACACCUGCAACACACGAAGCGAAAAACCGAAACUAAAGAAAAAAUAACUACCCACAGUCCUUCCAGCCAACCACCACACAAGUACCCCUAAUCCUCACGACCCUGUGCAAAUUCCCUGCUUCAAAACCACUUCAGGCUCCUAUGGUCGCCAACGAAGAAUGUUGAUCUCAACAACGGCCACAGCGGCAGCGCGCGAAAAACGCCAUCCAAAAUCUAGAACACAGCCACGCGACGACCUCGACAUGAGCCCCGUGGGGGCUUGUACACACACGAACAGGGAAAACAGUCGGUGCAGGAAAAAAACUUACGACGUGGUAGGGUAGACGGCGAGAGAGAGACGGCAGAGGGGCAAUUGAAGUGCGGUAGAAGUGGGAAGUAGAAGAGAGGAAUGAAUGAAUGAAUGAGAAGACGAAGAAGAAGAGCGCGGAAGAGGAGGGGGUGGCCGUGGAAGCAAGCAAGGACGGAAGCCAAGCAGAGGCGAGGGGGAGGGUUUUGUUGUUGCUGCUGUUGCUGUUGCUGUUGUUGUCGUUGUUGUUGUUGCUGUUGCUCCCCGACCAGGAUUGAUUUGCAUGCAUCGGCGAUGUCGAGAUCGCCACUGCAUCACAAAUGAGAAGACACACAAAUCCCUCCCCAAAUCCCUCCCUCCUCCGCUGCAGCAGAGCAGCCCUUCGAUCCUCCCCCUCCCUUGUCUACUACUCCCACUACUCCCACUACUCCCGUCCCUCCCUCCCUCCCCAAUAUCGCCGCCCCUCGUACAUCCCUCGUGCUGUUCCUCCUCGGGACAUGUGCCCCCACCACGUGGUAAUCCGACGUGGACUUUGUUGAACCCCCCCUCCCCCCCUUCAUCUGGUGGUGCGAGAGACUUGGCACCCCCCCCUCAUCAAUCUAUGUCUCUGUCUCUCUCCAAGGCACGGCUUUGACUGACUGACUCCCGUGAGCGUUGAUGCUGGUCCUGCUGAUCCAUGACCGUGGUGGGUGGUGGGUGAGGGGUGGUGUUUCCUCCUUACUACUUACUACUCACUCAAUUCAACUCAACUCACUCACACACUAACUCUCCCUAUUGCUGCUGCUUUUUCAUACUCUCUCUGUUGGACAUGGCUUUCUUUCUACCCUUCUUUCCUGUUGCUUUGUGAGAAUACGUUACAAACUCUUUUUUUUAUCACUUUAUAUGUGUUUUUGGAUCCAGGACCUUUGGAUAUGGUUAAUAACUAUUGGGAUCAUUUUGUUAUUAUUAUUAUUAUUAUUGAAUUAAAUAUCACAAGAUUCUUCGUAAUUGAUUCAUAAGAUGCUUCAUUUUUUCAUAUUUACUCAUCAAAAUUUAAAUUCAAAAUUUGAUAUCCUAUUGUGUUGCUAAAAAUAAAUACUGUUCCAUAUCAAGGACUUUACAACAAAUCUUAUGAGAUUGUUACAAGAUUUUUCAAAUUGUAUUAUUGAGGUAAGUCUAAUAAGAGGAGACUGUAAAUAGAAUUCGAUAUUAAUUUUAAAAUUCAAUAAAUCUCCCAAAAAUAAUCUCUGGAUAUUUGAAUACUUUUUCAUAUCUAAAAAUCUCGUCAUUGAUUUUUAAUUUUUUUUAAAUCAAAAUUCCAACAACAAAAAUUCUCACUCAAGGUUACAUUUGCAAUCACUAAUCAUUGUAAAAACAUAUAUCCAUUUCUGAGUGCAGUCCUCUUCCAUGUAGUUCCAUAAAAAAUUAAAAAAUUAAACAAGCUUUAUUCCAAUCAGAGCAAAACUAGAAACGACACAAUGAAAAGAAUGUGGCAGAAAAUGCUACAGAAAUAGUAGGAAAUGGACCAGGGCUGCAUGCGGGGCUGCUGCUCCGCACUCCCAUGUUGUUGUUGUUGUUUGUGGCUGCUUCAUUUUGCGCUGCUGCUGCUGCCACUACAACUGCCUCUUGAGUUGCAGUUGACACGUUGCUGCUGCGUCUGUCUCCUCCUCCCAGCAUGCAUCUCUCAUGCUAUACUAUGCCAUGCCACUCCAGGGAAGCAGCAGCAGCUGGAGGGCCCCUGAUCGGCAGACCCCAGAGUGUGGAUGAGCAUCAACUGACCCAGUUUUCCAAUGCUUGUGUAACUAGCAAUUAGUGAACUUAGGUCUUGGCCGGCCAUCACAGGGAUGAUCUGUACAUAUCCUAGACACCGAUCUUAAUCUUGCUGAAAUCUGCGCAGUUUCUUCCUUCGAUGCAAUUAAGACGAAGAGGCAAGUUAGCAAAUCUGUCUCGUUGGGCGAAAAUGAAAUGUUCUCUAAAAGGAGCACAGUAAAGGUACCUGUCGGCAGAUCCGGCUACCACAGAUUUGCUUCUUGAAGCUGCCAGUUUUCAACCAGCUAUUUGGAGAGUUUUACACUCCCAAGAGAGAAAUAAGCCGACUGGAUCCCCACAGCAUUGCACAUAGAACCCAGCUGGGAAAGGUGGAGAAGGUCUUGUUCAAUUUAAAAGUGAAUUACAAAAAGCUAUACAAACUGAUUCGUCACUACCAUGGAUCAGGAGGCAGUUCAGAGGAGCCGAACUGGGUGCCUGACGUUCCUAACCAGGCUUGCUCCGCGAGAAUUAAGCGUAAGCGCUCUAAAAGACGUUCUAAUGCGACAUCUUCUUUCAUCUUCAGUGGACUUAGUGCAGCUGGUACUGCACUGUUAGCCUGCACAUACAACUGACAACUCAAAAACAUUGGCCACCACAGAAACAUUGAUUUAAGGAAACGGUGAAAUAUAACAACCAAGGCAAUGGUUCGCAGAGCAAUCAAUGUUUGUCUAAAAUGUGGGUAGACGUUCUGGUGCUUUACCAAAGAAGUUGAAUACGCGUUGAGAUACUCAAAUGACCGCCCGUACAGCCCAGCAUGGAAGAGCAGCAUGCCAUAAUCUCUCAGCUCUUGUUCGUCUACCCCUAGCAAUACAAGCCUCUCCGAGGCUGCAUGACAAACAAAAAGAACAAGGAGAAGAUUCAUAAGAAUUCAAUAUCUUAAAAGGAUAGUGUUAACGUGAAAUUCAUCUUCCACAGGAAUCUCUUAGUAGCCUCACCAGCAAGAGCCCGGCGAAGAUCGCCAAAAUUAGUAGAUGUCCAAAUGCCGCGCUGCAGUCUCAACUGAGCUGAACGUGCUCUAGCUAAUUCUGCUCCGCUGGACACAACAGCGCAAAUGAACAGCCACGAUGAGUGGCAGAUACACUCGAAACAAACAAUUGCAGCAAGUGUCCAUGCUGAGCAUGCAACAACUAUUUUCUAGAAACACAUGACAAGCCACUGUUGAACCAAGACUCACCCACUACUGUGAGGAGCAUGAAACAGGCUAUCAAAGGCACUGGCAGAGGCAGUCAUUCCAAUGCCUCGGCUCGCAGCAGUGGCUGCUUGCAAAAACCCACUCCCUUCUCCUAUGGUUCCAUUUUCUCGCCAUGGCCAGUACAACUGCUUCAGAGAUCUGAGCACCUGAAACACAAACCAGGACUUCGAUGAGUUGAAGUUUUUUAAGAGCUACCAGUGCCAGCACAAUCAUUUGUCGAUGAAUUAUGGGAUACCUCCACCAAAAGCAACUCGGGAGUGAAUAGCAGCGUUUGUUCGUCUCCCCUCUUGGUAUCUGCAAUCGAUAGAAUGCACUGUCAGAGCCUAUCGCUUAACAACAUCGUGCAAAAUCAUGAGCUUCGGGCAAGGGAAAGCAGAGAGUGCGGAAUCUAACCCGCAACAUUGCUCACUUAGACGAUAGAACUCAGACUAUCUAAACUCAUCCACGCAGGCAUCACAUUACCAUCCUGGGUAGCAACUCGAGGACGCGGAAAAUCAUUCAGAUUAGUUGGGAGCUCCAUGUCAACGGAGAAAUCAAUAACCCCAAUCUGCUGCAGUCUCUUAAUCAAUUCGCUGUAAAUCAGGGCGAGCAUUACAGGAGUGCCGAGCCGAGUGGUCAACACCUAUUCGUUUCAACAACACAAUUUCAACAAAAAUGAGUUUCAAAGACAGAAGUAGCAAACAAGGACGUCUGGCAAUUAGAUUUUAUCUAGAGUCUCGAGAAUAUUAAUUUGAGACAAAGGUAAGGGCCAUAAGAAACUCACCGUAUUUAAAUAGAACACCCUGGCAUCCACGAUAUUGUGCAAAGACUUGGUCCUUUUGAAACCCUAAACAACACCAGCAUUUAUCAGUGCGUUUGUCGAGAUUGCAGUAACAUGUGGAUAAUUCUCGGCACACAACAUAAGUAAAACGGAUAGAGAACCAAUCAUGUAAUGUAGAUUGCUUACCUGGUAUCCGAACAAAUACAAGUCCAAAGCCUCAAAAACAGUAUACGGAUCACUCGCAUGCUGACGAGGAAGAUAGUGGCCAGCAAAUUCUACCGCCAUUGCUUGGAGACGAUUGAGAUAAGCAUCUACAGGCAGCGGAACUGGGGAAUGAGAGACAAGAGCGUCGUCUUCUGCCGCAAUUUCCAGAGCAGCGCGAGCAAGGUCUACAGAGCCUUCUGGCUUGCCGGAGCCAACUUCCUCCGAAGCUGCUCGAAGGUUCGCUAUCUCCUCCGCAAAGUUUCUGCGUGCAACCUGCUUUCCAGAUAUGUUUAACCACGCGAGGCUGCCAUUAUCAUAUCAAAUUCAAAUAGACAAUUAGGUCUACACGUUUCCAACAUACUGCAACCUAUCUUGGUGUCGAGGAAAGAAAAGCUGUACUUGUGCGUGUGAAGUUUCAAUGCCCGCCUGAUCCAUGAGAUAAUGCAGCCACGACGUUCCUACCGCACCAUCACAAUCUUUGUCACCUCCUUCGCCAGUGUCCUCAUUGAACACCGUACAAAAGCAUUUUCCCUUACAAUUUGGUGCUUUCUUGGCACAAAAUGGAGACGACGACGGAGCACUAGUGUCAGAAUGGCGCAACGCUCUGUUCCGCUUCCACCUGCUCAUUCCGUCCGCUGAGCUAGGUUUAAGAGUGGUGGCGGCUCCAAAACAUGGUAAACACUGAAGACCCUGAGAGUUGAUCAUUCUGUGCUCUCCAUGACCAAUGUUCUGCGAAGGGCAUGAUGACGUGAACUGAAGACUUGGCUGCAAAACAGCCAUCCCUGCACCUACUUCUCCCUCUGCGCGCGUCGAAUGAAUCCCUUGACAACAAUCACCCCGCACAGAUUCAACAAAAACCCUGAAUUCAGCAGAACUUCACGACAUUCAGUCCAGCUUAAUAGGACGCUUGAACCUGCGGUGUACUGUUUGCUUUCUUAAGUAGUCGCUCCACAAACACUCGUGAAACGUUCGCAGUUCACUUCUCCGUGACCGUCCAAGCCAAUUCAAUUUUCUAUCCUUUUCCGCAACCCAUUAGCUGUAACUAUAUCAAUUACGCAUAUGUGACCCCCAGAUUAGUAUCAAUUCGACUAGAAUCCUCCGUGAUUUCGUGCCUUCUCUCUCACACUCGUUAUUGAACUCAAGUUCACCGGAUAAACAAAUCACUACGCUCCAAAGUAAGCGGAUAUGUGAUCUGACUACCACUUUCUCUACUCCCACAGGCAGCCUUCAUGAAGAUUUCUAAAUUAUAGUCAUUGGCUUACGAAUUCCUAAUUCUGCUAAAUGAGGAGCAAUAAAUUGUGGGCGACCCUUCAAACUCCUGAUGAUGCGACGUUGCUUCUUGUACCAAAACCUGGAGGAUGCAUCCAUUCACAUCUCAUUCGUUUUUCUACUUCACAAUCUUCUCAUUAAAUUGUCUCGAAAUCAAGACGGAAUGUCAAACGACGAUAAUUCAAACCCUCGCAAACCUCCAACACACACAUGGGUCUGUUUCUCUUGUUUCGGAACUAGAAACCCCUCUCUCCUUAACUCGACGCUUGUAACCACAAGCCAAUAGAGGAUCGGAAAAGCGCGAGGAGGCUGUGGCCAGUCUCGUGAUUAAAAAUCACAUCCUCAUUUGGUUUCCUCAGCAUCAAUUCUUCUCUUUCCAAGAGUGCAGACCUACAUACCAGCACAACCCUCCGUUGAAUCUUGCUAAAGACGCAGGCUUCAUCCUCCAAUUCAGAUUGGCUUCACGACGGCAACCAUUAUUCCGAGAUUACUUAGAACCCGCGUUGAAUCCAGUCGCUCGAAAGUAGGGCUUCAAAACUAUGCAAGUGGAAUCUCAAUAGAUUUGGCACCUGGGAGUUAUCAUUGGACCUGGCGUGGCCACAUGACAGGUGAGAGCUGCCGGGAUUCACCGCCACAGCCACUAAUCCUGGUGGCCAAUUUCCACGUGGUCACCUUACGGAGAUUCCAUUGGACAAGUGGAGGAAGGACAACAUCUAAUGUUCAUCUCAUCGAGGAUGUGAGGAGUGGUUUCUGUUCACCAGACUCCCCAACAGGCCAAUUCUGCACUAUGUGGUGGCAUGAUCGUAAGUGCGGUAGGAAGACUACGAAAAUCGAAAUUGCCGCCUCGGACUGGGAAGAAAUUCAACCGGAACCGGACGAAGAUGUGCAUCGCUUUCCAUAAUCAAUCCUUUGACUGCUGCUUUCACAGAAAGUUUCAAUUCAGGUUUUUGAUAUUGAGCUCGGCUGAUUUCACAGAAACUGUCGGUCCUCGUUCGUUGCUUGCCACUGAUGCACCUCCGAGCAUUACUUUAGAUAAGCAAGUAGAUGUUACCAACGUUUUGAUGGUUGGCAUGCAAGAGUUAGGCUGAGAUGGAGUACAGCAUCUCAUCUGCGACCAUCUUGUUCAUAGAGGUGACUCAAGUGGUGCCCGCAGUGUACAACAGAAUCUGUCAAUGGCUAGACAUCUUCAGCAGCGCUUCUGACAACUAGAGGUAAAAUUUUGACGCCCCAAAUCGCGUGGGACCGCACUUGGGGCUCAGAACUUGAUUCGCAUGUGAAAGUCUGUGAGGAAGGAGCUGUCAGACCCUACAAUGCAAUCAUCACUCUACUUGGAAAUGGCGAAGAAUUUUAUCUUAAUCAAACACGAAAUCAAGUCUCCUCUUUCUCUCUCUCGCCGUUCUAAUAUUUCUCUAGGUCGAGCUAACCUUGGCCCUUACCUGAGACUACUCCCCACUGUCCCAGCAUUGCUUCCUUCAACGCCUAAAGCUAAGUCGUCAUGAAAAGAAGUCCUGCCACCUGUUUCUCCAGACGCCCAAUUGCCUUCUCCUGCAUCCCAAAGCCCUCUAUCUCAUAACUUUGGGCACGGUCUCGAUCUCGAUCCCGUUCUUGGUCUUGUCCGUUUCCUGGACCUAAGACUGAUGAAGAUCCUCCAUAAACAUGAGUGGAUGAGUUGUGGGCACUUGCUGUUGGUGUCGAUGUGGAUGCAGACAUUGCUGUGGUAGCUGCUGCAGUUCGAGCCUCAGCAACCACUUCAAUUCAGAAGUUGAAUAUUCACUGCAAAACUCAUUUCCAAACUAAAAGUGAUCAGAUAGAGCAUUGUAACCAAAUCAAAGGCAGAGAGUGUACUUCCAGCGUUAAACAGCAUAAGACAUUGUUAUCUCCAUUGGAACAAAUUUAAACAAUAGAAAUGGUUUGCAGCUACAAGGCCAAACUGAUGAUGACAGGGACGCACAAAAUCAUCAAACCAUACUUGCAGGAAAGUCUCUCGAAAUGCUAAGCAUAUCAGAUACCUCUAUUCGAUUAGGAUCUGUCUCAUUUGCAUGUACCCUGAUUUAUGUAAUGGCUUGUAAAUAUAGGUAGCUGAGACACACUUGAUGUAAAACAAAUCUAGCCACUGAAAAUGCAACACACCGGUCAUUACCCUGGUUCAAGUUAUAUUAAUACAAUUUCAGAGGUUUCACUUGGGCGAAACUACAUGAUUCCACACCUAGGCGAUUAUCACUGUUAGCAAUGGCGCAAGUGAGCCUGUACACAAGUCUAUCAGCACACAGCCUGAUUUCUGUUGCAACACAGAACCCAGAGGAUCACCAGCUAGAAAAAGUAAUUAAGAAGCUAAAAAAAUCGGGGUUGAAUUGUGAGCAGCCACGGGGACAACCUCAUAGAAGACGUGGAGAAUGAGUCGAAAGGUAUCCAGUGUAGGCAUCAAACGUAUCGACCUACGUUCAUCAGUGGCGCCCAACCUUUAAUAUGUUUGACGAUGUGAAAAUAAAGUUGAUCAGCCAAUGCAGAGACACACAAACAGUGGCAGCCUGCAGAUUUGACGGCUGAUAAUAAAUGAUAAACCUUAAUCCACGAGAGUUGGAUAAUACUCAGCAUUGUCGAGCCUCACAGAAAUCUCAAUAAAUUACUCACUUUCAAGUCCCAUUCCCUAAAACAGCUAAUAGCAGAAUCACAAGAGGCUGCAAGUCCAAUUUGCAUAAAAGUCUAGAAUCCUGCACAUGAAAUCUCUAAACUGUGAUUCAUGUGCAUCUCGGUGAAUUUCGUGCACCAACGCCAUUAGCUAAAACUUCCAACUUGAAAACCGUAGUAAAGAAUUUGCAAAAGCUGAAACGUUUGGUAGUCUGAAGAACUAUUGAAUCUAUUAGCUAUGAAUCAUCACAAUAUAACACAUGACCAAUGUAAAUAUUGUAGAGAAACUCAUGCAGCCAAUGAGGAGGGAUCAAAUUCCCAAAACAUUCACUGUCGCUGUCACAAAGGAAAGAAUUCAAGACUAAAACUGACAGCCAUAAUCCUGAUGAGUUAAAGUUAACGAUGUUGCCGAAAUGAUUCAUUGGUUCACAAAGGUCAACGAUAUCUGUUAUUUAAUUAAAAAAUUUGAAGAAAGAAGCUAGGUUGAUUUUGACUGAUUCUUCAUCUGUUUCAUUGAUAACUGCAGAUUUUUUGUUGUCUCUACAGGGUCCCAUCCUGCCAAUCAGUGAGGCAUCCGAUGUACUUCGACCUGAAGCCAUCACAUUGGCAAGGUUCAUAAAAGAACAGCAAGCAUGGAUGCUUCUCAGAAAACAAGCCUCAUACCACGACAUAAAACAAUAAUUCAAUAAUGGAAAGAGAAAACGGAAAUACUUAAAAGAUAAUCAAAGACGUUAAACAUCUGCAACUAGAAAUAAAAUAUAAUAUAAUAAAAUAACGAAAAUAAACAAAACUUAAUACAUCAAACAACUCACCUUGCCGACCCAAACAAUGAGAAUAAUGGAUAAAGUGGUCCAAUUUCGAUCGUCAAAAAACGGCCACAAUUGGAACUGUAAGAUCCCCUUGCUACUAUGAGCCUGCAUUGCCGUGAGACCAAUUCUUUCUUAAGUGAAUAUGGUCAACGAAAACCACAUAUAAAUUGUGCAUCCGUAAUGACAUAGAAUACAAUAUUUAAAAGACGAAUGGACUGAUAGUACCUCCAUUUUCCGUAAAACAGGAGACAACCGAAUUGAAGUAUCUUGAAUUAGCCCCAUUUCGAGACAAGGGAAUCAAUCAGAACCACUGCCUACCACUCAUUCGGAAGUUCAACGCACUAAAAUUACGUAUCAAUUCUUCGCUAUCUAAGAAAAAGUUUGCCACGUCAAUAAACAUACUAAGAAGCAAAAACUGACAAGAAAGAAAAAAGAAAAGAAAAGAAGGAAAAAGCAAGCACACCAAAUCACACCUGCAGCUGUACGUCAUGAGGUUCCUUGCUUCGAGCAAUGAUUUGGGUUAGGAAAUUGUCCACAACAGGCUGUAACCCUAUCUUGAGACCCUGAACUGGUAUAGAGUUGCGAGAAAUAUGUAGAGUCACAAAGGCAGACUGCUUUUAAGAAUCGGGACUUCAGAUUUUUAAGAAUAGAGACUUUAGAUUUUGAAUGUGUCAUAAUCUCUUGCCAGCAUAUGAAAAACUUAUUCUUCAUGUUGAGAAUGUUUAGAAAGAAGCAAGAGUAGUAGUAAGUAAUAUACACACAAACACAAGAGAGUUUCUAAGGAGAGAGAGAGAGCUUCACACAAAAAUCUAUUGAUCUGCUUGUGUCUCAUAUACAAGAGGAGAAGGGGAGAGGAUAAACACUUCUUCUCUACUACAUUCCAAAUACUAUAACUAUAGUAUUUAUUGUAGACUAUAGUAAAUAUCAUGGAGAGCACUAGCUACAUUUAAUGCUCUCAACACUCCUCCUUGCUCAUCAUAAUAUUUACAUAAUAUAAAAUUUGUAUAGAAUUAUGAUCUAUACUUUUUUGUAAUCUUGCAAGAUCAAGAAUUGUUGCUUCAUUAAAAUCUUAUUUAAGAAAACCUUAUUAUAUUUAAGGGCAAAGCCAUAGAUGACAAAAAAUGAGUACAACAUCAUUUUUCUUAAUUAUUUAAAGAGUUCAUUAACUUUCUUAUUCAAGAAAAGCAAGUCACCACAUACCAAUGCCAUAAGUAAGUCGGCAAUAGUUGUACAAUGAGAGAGCUUUGGUGAAGAGAUCAACAAGAUUAUCUGUAGAUUCAUUUUUUUUUAAAUUAUAAGUGCUUGAUUAGUAAUCAAGUCGUGGAUAUAACUAAAAUACUUUGGAUCAAUACACUUUGUCUUGUCGCAUUUCAUGAAACCAACUUGCAUCUGUGCAACACAAGCACUAUUGUCUUCAUGCAAGAUAGUUGGAGAAUCAUCAUAUGAAAAUCCACAUGUUGUUUGAAUGAAUUAAUCAAUUGAUCUCAAUCAAAUACAUUCUUGAGAUGCUUCAUGUAAGGCAAUAAGUUCUGCAUGGUUGGAUGAAGUUGCAGUUAUAGUUUAUUUCACUGAUUUCCAUGAUAUUGCAACUCUAUGUCUUAAAAUUACAUAUCCUAUUUGAGAUUUAGCUAUAGCAUUAUCAGAUUUAUAUCUCCCAUCAUAAUAUCCAACCAAUUUUAGAUCUGCAGAUUGUGUUUAGUAUAAUUCCAAAUCUUUAGUACCUUUUAAAUAAUGUAAUAAAUAUUGAUCUCUCAAUAUUUCAUCCUCCUUCUCGCAUAGAUGAUAUGGAUCAUGACCAUCACAACCACAUCUAACCAUUGGUGUGGACAAUGGAUAAGUAUCAAUCAUAUUGAAUCUCUGUAAGAUUUAUGUAAUACACGUUAGUUGGUAGAGAAAAAUACUACCAUAUGUGAGAUGCAUAAUUUGAAGACCAAUGCAGAAAGUUGUUUUUCCUAGUAUUUUCAUCUCAAAUUCACAUAUAAGUAGAUUAGUAGCUGUAACACAUGGAGAUUUAGUACCCACUAGGUUAAGAUCAUCAACAUAUACAAUGAUGAUCACAAAAUCAAUUUUAUUUUGUUUGAUAAACAAACAAGGGGUUAGUGGAUCACUUACAAACUUCUAUGUAAUUAAAUAAUCUUGAAGACAUUGAUACCACAUGUGCCCGGAUUAUUUUAAACCAUACAAGGCCUUAUAUAAUUUAAUACCACAAUAUCGUCCUAAAGUAGGUCCAUUUGGAGUUCUUAUUUCUAAGUUAGGUAGAACUUUCAUAUAAAUAUUUCCAUCAAGAGAACUAUAUAGACAUGCACUUACCACAUCCAUCAGAUUCAUUUCAAGGGUGAUAUAAAUUGCCAUUCUAAUAAUAUAUCAAAAUGUAAUUAAAUCCAUGACUAGAGAAUAUGUGGAUUCAUAAUCAAUGCCAAAUUAUUAAGUAAAUCCUUAAGUAACAAGAUGAGCUUUAUAGUGGGUUAUUUGACCGUGAGCAUUUUGCUUGCAUAUUAAUACCAUCUUAUAUUCUACAAGGCAAGAUGUAAGAGUGUCUACAAUUGGACCAAAAACUUUCUUCUUAUGCAAAGAGGUAUACUCCUCCUCAAUAGCAGUUUUCUAUUUUGACUAAUCAGAGCAACGCAUUGCUUCUUCAAUGGUUUGAGGUUCAGGAUCAUCUUCCUCGUAAGAAAGGGCUUCUAUAAUCAUACAUACAAAUGAUUCAUCUACUGUAAUAGAUGGUCUGUCCCAAAUAUCGUCUGUAGCACAAUACAAAAUAGAUAAUUCUUUAUUCAACUUGUUCUUAUCCCUUCCAAUUCCAAGAUUGUUUUUCAUAGGAAUUGAAGGUACAUUAUGCAUAGAUAUAUCAUCAUGAAUUGGUGGUUCUCUAGAAUGAGUGGAAAUUUCUUGAGAAAUAAUACGAGAAUUAGUCAAUAUUAUAGCUUUCUUCUUACGUAAUUGCUUAUCUAGUCUACGAGUUCUUUUAGUUGUUGUUGUUAUAACUUGAGGUAUUGUAGUCAAUAGGACUACAAUCUGAGCAGGUGCAUUCUGAGCCUCAUUAAUAGGAACUCUUUUAAUUCUAGGUACAUCAUUGAAGCCAUCAAGUAUUUUAUCUAUGAUUCGUUUUAGAUACAAAAUCUUAGCAAUUUCAAUUUCAGGCAAAGAUGUCCUAAGAUCGAGAUUCAUUGUAAACAUUUUUGGUGCUUCAAAUACAAGUAAUUUAUUUCUUUGUUGAUUAGAUACUCUUCCUUGAAGAGAUGGGAAUACAUUCUCUUCAAAACAACAAUUUUGUAAACGUGCACGUAAUAAUGUGUUAGUUGAUGGAUCAACAAUACGAAUAAUGCUUGGUGAAUCAAAACCAAUAUAUAUGCCUUCUUGUUGAUGAGUUCCAAUGGUAUGCCAUUGAUGUUCUGGUAUUGGAAUCCAAGCACAAUAACCAAAUAUUCGUAAGUGAGAUACAUUUAGAAUACAACCCAAAAUGAGCUCAUGUGGUGAAAUAAUUCCAAGUGAAGAAUGGGAGAGGUGUAUUAAUACUAUAGCAUGUAAAAUUGAAUGACUCUACAUAGAUGCAAGUAAAUUUAUGUGAAGGAGGAGUGGUUGGAUAAUGAGUUGUAUAUACUUUAUAAAUGACUCUGUAAGUCCAUUUUGAGCAUGUUCAUAUGGAACACAAUAUGUCAACUCAAUUCCUCUUGCAGUACAAUAGUCUUAAAAAGGCUUUGAUGCAAAUUCUUUUGCAUUAUCCAUACACAAUGUUUUUAUAGGAUAAUCAAGAAAAUGUGCUUGAAAAUGAAUAAGCAUAGAUAUAAGAUUGACAAAUACCAUAUUUUAAGUUGAUAAUAAUGAAACAUGUGAUUGUUUAUCUGAUGCAUCAACAAAGACCAAAAAAUAACAAAAUAGUCAUGAUAUUAGAUUAAUAGUACCACAAAUAUUACCAUACAAUCUUUCAAGCAUUGGUCGUAAUUCUUGUGGGAUUUUCCAAAUUGAAGGCUGAAUAAUCAUCUUACCUUAUAUGCAUGCACGACAUAAUUCCAUAGAGUGUAGAACUGCAGGCUUUAAAUUGUGUCCAGUUAUACAUCGAAUAAUCUUUCUAAAUAAUGUAGAUCUUGGAUGUCCUAAUCUUCCAUACCAGAGAAAAGCAAGACUCUCUAUAAUAGAUGAUGCAAAAUUAAAUAUAAUGGGAGGCCAAAUUACAAUUUGGUGUAAACCAUUUUUUGUAGCAAAAGCCUUUUCAACAACUUUAUGGUUCUUUGCAAGAACCAAAAUCUCUUUUCUAUUUAAAAUGGCAGUCGAGAGGUGAUAACCAUUGAUAUGCACAUCUCAAUAGCUAAUCAGACUCCAAGGUGCUGAGGGUGCAAACAUCGCAUGUUUUCAUUUUAUGAUGGAACUUGCAAGUAAUUUUAUCAUCGUUGUUCCUUCUUGGAAACAAAAUGUAUUUGCUUCAGCAAUAGUCAUCAUAUUUUUAGUUUGCCAAGUUGAAGAUUUUUUAUUAAAAAAUUAUCUGUUUCAUAAGAUAGUAUGUGAUGUUGCAGAAUCAAUGAACGCAUUAUUUGAUUUAUCAUUAGAGGUUUUGUCAUUCAUAUAAGCCUGUAAAUCAUCAACACCAAUUGAAUCCAUAGACACAUCCAUAGUAUGAACUUCACAAGUAUCAUCUUGUAGUUUCUUAUUUUCUUGGAAUAUUUUAAUAAAAUAUUUUGAAAUACAACACGCAUGUACUAAAUGUCCAAUCAUUCCACAUUUAUGGCAAAAACACAUCUCUAAUUUUUGUUUUCUAUUACAAUUAAUAGUAGAAUGUUUAUUCUUUCUAUAUGGGUAGAAAUGGUCAUCACAAUGACUACUCUAAUGCUUAUGAACUCGUUUCCCAUGUUUAUAUAAUUUUUUCUUAGACUUUGAAAUAUUAAGUGCAUGAGAUUUUGGAACUAUGGUUCCAAUAGGACAAGCUUCUGCAUUGCACAAGAGUAGCUCAUUUUGCUUCUCCACAAGAAGUAGAUAGGAUAUGAGAUCAAAAUGACUCUGAAAUUUCAUGUUCUUAUAUUGUUGUGCAAGUACAAUAGAUACAAGAAGAAAUGUAGAGAGAGUUUUCUCAAUCAUUAUUUCUUUGGAGAUGCUUUGUCCACAUAAUCGUAAUUGUGAGACAAAACUAUACAUUUCACUAUUGAAAGCAUUUUAAUUUAGAAAAUCCAAGACAUAUAAAUGUGUUCAAUUAUGACAUAUAUGUGGAAGGAAAAUGGUUUUUUAAUGAUGAAACGUGGAUUUAAGAUUCUUUCAAAGUUUUGUAGGAUCUUCUAUUUCCAAAUAUUGACGUUGUAAUGCAGGUAUAAGAUGAUGACGAAGGAAAAGAAGUGCUUUUCAAUGGAUAGCAAGAAGGAUAGAAAUACUUAUUGUAGGAGAUUCUUCAAACAUAAUGGCAUCCAAAAAUUAUUUUGCAAAUAAAUUUGUUUUUGCCAUUUUUGUCUACAAUAGAUAAUUAUUUCCAUCCAUAGUCAAUGGUGGAAAUAAAAGAGCUUGAAAAUGUUGGGAUGCAUUGGUAAUAGUUGGAACUAUAAUAGAAGUAGUUGACGAUGUUGAAGCACUCAUUAUAAAUAAAUAUGUAAAGAAAAUACAAGAUCAAGUAGAAAAGUUGAGUAAAAUAUACCUUAAAAUAUAAAGUCAAAUAAAAUGAUAAAAUUGAACUUGAAAUCAAAAUAUUAAUUUAUUAUUAUUGUUAUUAUUAUUAUUUUAACAAGGUUGUAGAUUGUGGCAGUUGAGCAAUAGGGCAGCAGUGGCAAGGCAAUAUCAAUGACAAGAUUGGUAGUAAGCAAUGGGUUCUGUUCAGCGGCAAGCGUGAGGCACAGCAAGGAGGCAAGGCUGGAGCAAGUAUUCUAAGCAAGCAAGGCAUAGAGUGGAGCAAGUAUUCUUAGCAAGCAACUAAUGUAUGAAGGGCCAGCAAGAAGUGCAGUAAGAUCAUGAGUCACAUAGGGAGCAAGAAUAGCAAUAGAUUUGAAGAGUCAAGACCAAAGUAAAAAAAAAAAAAAUUGCGAUAGUGUGUAGAAGAGAGUAGUGCUGAUAACGUGUUGAGAAUGUUUAGAAAGUUACAAGAAUAGUAGUAAGUAAUAUACACACACAAGAGAGUUUCUAAAGAGAGAGAGAGCUUUACACAAAAAUCUAUUGAUUUGGUUGUGUCUCGUAUACAAGAGGAGAGGAUAAACAAUUCUUCUCUACUACAUUCCAAAUAGUAUAGCUAUGGUAUUUACUAUAGAAUACAAUAAAUAUUAUGGAGAGCGCUGGCUACAUUUAAUGCUCCCACCACUUCAGGCCCACUUUAAGCUGUUGUUGCAAGCAUAAUUUUGAAAUAGAAAACAGUCUCGUGGUAUCCUAAAUAUAAAUAUCUGGGUGGAUUUUUUAAACCUACACAUGUCUGGAACUUAAGAACUAAUUCUUGGUUGUGCUUAGUAAUCUGGAACAUAACAGAAAUUCCUCCAUAUUCUCAUUAACAGAUGGGUCUUCCUACAAUGAUACACUGAUACAAAGCUCCUAAGUUAUCUUAUUUUGAAGGCUAAUAGAAAUCUCCUACUACAGAACUGAUUAAUCGUGGAUUUGCAUAAUAGAAAUCUCCUACUACAGAACUGAUUAAUCGUGGAUUUGCAUAAGAGAUGAUUGGCAACUUUUCUGCAAGAACAAUCCCAAUCAGUUGGCCAUGCUUUAACAAAUUGCAAAAAAUAAUUCUUAAAGAAAGGCGUCAUUUCUAGCACUAUGUAUCCUAAAGGAAUUGCCAUUAUGCUAUGACGAAACGUUAAGCAUUGAAUUCUGUCAAGGCAAGUACCAAAAGAUUCUGUAAAUGAACUCUUUGUGCGUGAUACUGAUUAAGCUGCACACGGAAAAUAGUGACAGCUACCAAUGCGACAUUAGCGAACAAUGUGAAUAGUUUACUUCGAGAACCAUCCUUUGCAUGGUAUACCGUGUAUACAGCGUCAUGAAUUAGCUACUCAAGGCUUACAUCUCUGUCUGUGAUACAUAGAAGUCUAUAUGUCUCCACCAAGUUGGGGCCUAACGUGAACUAAAGUAUGACAUGAAAUGUCAUUAAGCUCCUUCUGAUUCAAUGCAAGAGGUUGCUGGUUAGAGGAUAGUGAAGGCUCUGAUUUGUCGACGAAUUUGAUAAAAGCAGGCCGACGAUUCAACACUCGUCAAAAAAAGCCCAAAUACUGAUUCGACACACCAACCUAUUCAUUUCAAUCUCUCGAGACGAAUCGUAAGAAACUUUAAAAACCGAUCAACUCACCUGUAUCUAGAGAGAAAUCCACUCUUCAGCAUUCAUGCUAGUGGACCAAUGCGUGCGAAGGUCGAAGUCGAGUGUCUAGGAAGUACGCUACGCCAGCGAUUUGUUCCAAGGCGCUCUUACUUUGCUCAUCAACAGUGUCACUCUCUUUCCUUAGCUUCAACCUCCGAGUUCAUAAGCUGUCGUUCUAUUUCUAAACUGCUCAGCACCAUCACGAGUCGCAAGAAUCUCACCGACAUACCCUGUUCACAUUUUCUUCAUUCAUCAAAACCUUUGAUAUUUAAAACCUUUGCAUUGACCAACAUAUUCACACUAGUUUUCGUGGGCUCCUCAACAUCCUCAAGGUGAACCCACGAACCAAUUUUUCACAUGCACGACACCUCAUUACGUGAAAUUCCGCUUCAAGCAGAGGCAUGACAGUACAGCACAGAAAAUAUGAAGAGAAGUGGGAGAAUCAUUGCCAAUCCACAAGGUCCGAAACACGGUCGUAAGCUUAGAGUAUCUAUGACCGUUUUGAAGCACACGCACUGGGCAGGGCCCGAUGAACCUUAACUAAAUACGGUAUGCGUGUCUUCUUGAAGCUAGAUUCAGGCUCGCAACCCUGUAGCUCUCAAGAGCUGUCACUACUUCAUGCAAGUGGAAGGCAGAUCAUUGGACAUGGAUCUUUGAAACUUUGCAUUUAAUGAGCCAGUAAGUAGCUGCGUGAUUGUGAGCAUGCAAGACUUCAACUUACAAUCACAAGCGUUGUCCUCACUGUCGUCGUCGUCGUUGCUGCUAUCUUAGAUUGUGCAGGGAGUCCGGAGUUGGGUCGAUUCAGUGCAGAAUCCAGAAGCCGCUAGAGGGAAGAGGUUUGAAGGGUUUCGAAGGUUUAGUGAGUUCAAAGUGUGGAGAGACCGGGAGAGGUGAUUGUAUUCAUGAUUGUUCGGCAGGAUGUUUACGGAAGUGGUGGAGCUCUGGAGUUUAGGGUUUUUGGUCCAACUUGGGUUCUGCAACGAGCUUAAGAAAGGCUCGGGGGGAUUAUAGAUUGUGGAGGCGGAGCUGAAAUAGGGCAAGAAGGGGCUGGAUUUGUGGGCAUGUGUGAAAUGGUAGAGCUUGUCGUGGGAGAAUAAUUGUUUAAAUUGUUUUGGUUGUGGCAUUCGGAUUCUGGAGAUGGGGUGGCUAGCAGCGUUUGUUGUUUCUCUCCUGGCUCUUGUAAGGAUUGGAAUUGCGCAGACAUGUUCGAAUUCUGAGAAUUCGGAUGCUUGUGAAUGGGAAGCAAUUACAAAUGGGAAGAAGUACAGCUUCAAUCUCGCUACUCCAAUCAAAGGAUACCCUCAUGGAAUUUUGAGCGAAGACGGGUACUACUGCUUGGCCCCAAGACCAAUCCGUAAAAAGCAAUGAUGCCAUGCAUUUUUCAUGCAAACGUUGCUCUAUGUCACAAGCUUUACUCAGUUCCUGCUAGGUCCAAAUCUGGCUUUUCAAGGUUGUGCUAAUUUUUCGUUUGAAUAAAGGUUUUACAAGGUUAGUGUAAAAUCGAAUGAGGGGAAGACUACGAUUUACUGGUUUCAGGUGCGUUUCAUGCGGAGCCAUCAUUCUGAAAACAUGGAUUAGAUUGUUAUGGGCAAUAACUAUUACUAAUGGCUGAUGGGCAAUACGCAUGGAUACACCCGAAUUGAGACUACGACUUCCCUCUGCUUCUUGUUUAGUUUGUUGCCUACCUGCACUGUUUUUCAAAUGGUUACCUGGGUUCUAAUAGGGUUUUCAGUUUCAAAGAGGUCAGCUCUCUCAGUAAUUUCUUUACGCGGAGUUUUGUUCAUUGUUUAUGAUCAGUUAUGUGAGCAUAUGAAGUUCAACUUUAAUCCACCUCUGUGCGAGAAUUGUGAGGUACCAAUUCAACCUCUAUACCAGAUUUAUGUUAUUGAUGCGACCUUGUUUUCGAUUCAUGUUUUGUUUCCUAAGUAGAAGUGGUGGCAUUGACUUUAGGUACCAGUCUGUACUAUGGACGGAAAGUUUGUAUGUUUGUCUCUGCCUUUAUUUUCUCUAUACUGUUUCGGUACUGAUGCCCUUUUCUAUCAUACUAUCUAUGUAAUAUGGAGAUUAAGAUUUUGAGUGGUUUGGUCAGACUUGUGGUGGUCCAGGACACUGUGGUGAAACCUGCAGUGCGCUCAUGUCCUCCUCUUUUCCAGGUUUGUUAUGGGAAUUUUGGUCUAAUUAUGUUCUUAAAUUCAACAUGUUUCUAAGCUGUGUGAUUGAUUUUAGAAUUUUUGAAUGCAUGAAAUUACUUCGAUUGUAGGUUGAACAUACUGAAUGUUCAGUUUAAGCGCCCAUAUAUGGGUUGCAGAGUCCAAUAUGAAUGUGGAUGCUGGCAGCUGAUGUCUAAAUAUCUACAGGCACCAUCGGGUUUUAAACUUUCACUGAAUGAUUGCUCAGAAGUGUGUACUCCUUGUAAUUGUUUCUUUUUUUUUCUUUUUUUUUCUUUUUUUUGAUACAUCUUAACGACUUUCUUCCUUGUUAUGCAUCGGGCCUUCUAUCACAUGGUCACCUGGAACUCAUGGUUUUCUCAGGUUAUUCCGUAUGUUCCACUCUUGGGUACCCUGGAAGCAUUCAAUACUCCUUGAUAAGUACGAUUUCAUCACUACCUCUCAUUUCAGUGUAUCUAUAUUUGACCCGUUGAAUGCUAUUUCUUUCUAUAAUUGAAGUUAUGGUCAUGUUUUAUUUUAUGUUUUGCAACUGCACAUAAACCAUGCUACCCCUGGUAUAAAUUUAACCUAUUGUUGGUCUGGCACAAUCGGAAACUGGCAAUCAAUCAUGAGUUAUUAAUAUCAUUUGAACUUGAAUUAAAUUGAAGUUCUUAUUCAAAGCUUCCGAUGUUAAAGUAGGAUAUUGAGAGGCUUCAUUUUUGCUCGUUAUGUUUCGCUUCAGAUCAGAACAAGCCGGACCAAGGUGUUCGAGUGAAAAUGACCACAUGCAACAAGAAUGCAAAGCCAGAUUGCUCGUUCUCAGUGUUGGUGUACUGCAGUCGUUCUGGUAUUGAGGUAUGAUGUGAUUGUCAAAUAGCAAUUACUCUAAUGUUUUUUGGGUCGAUUAGACUGGAAGGCUGUUCAUGAGCUGGUUGUGGGUGCUCAUUUUUCUAAUGUUUACAGCACGAGUAGUGAAUGCAAAGGAGAUCACAACUAUGAUUCGUGUAUAAUCUAGUCAUAACUAACUCACACAAGUUUUUAUGAAUGUGCACACGCGCGCGCGCACACACACACACAAGGCAUCGUUUUUUCUUCAGAACUGUAUGUGAACGUAUUUUCUUCAGAACUGAACGGUGAACGUAUGUGAACCAAUUGCGAGUAUCUGCUAUGCGCAAGAGAAGUUCUGAACACGGGAGCUGGAAGACUUGAGCAUGCCAUAUCAUCUAAAUUUUGCAUGCGAAUGCUUGUGCAGGUACCCACUAAAGUAACGAAUAUUACAUCAGGGGUUUGUGAUUAUGUAAGUCUCUGACCGGACUGCUCACAUUGUAAUAAAACUUCAGGCUUAUCAUUGGUUAAAGUGGACUCCCAUGUCAUCCACCUAGUCAUGUUCUUUGUGGUCAUAGCCCUUAAUGUCAAAUUUCGUUGUUGUGGCGUGUCGGGACGUCCAUACUUGUAUAAAUUUUAAGGAAGACCUAUGUUCAGUUUGACAAACUAGAUUAUGGUGGCAAUGUUUGCUAAUUUGGUUAAUUGUAUGUUUGCAUUAGGCUUUUUCCGGUUGAUUCUGUGAUAUGAUUUUGGAUUACUAUGCGUAUUAGGAUCUUUAAAUAUUUUGACGUUUUAUUUUGUUGCUUGAUUGUUACAUAAAUUCACUUCCAAAUUUCUUUGAUUGUAGCGGUGUCAUCGGUUGCGCAUCUGUAGCAUUCAAAGUCAGUGAUGCAAAUGUGGCUUGAUCAGGCUACUCUGAACCAUACCAUUAACGAUUAGAUAUCCUAUGUUGGUGAACAGGAGACCAUAUUAAAACAUCCAGCAGGUUGCCCCGUGGUGACGAAUGUGAGUAAAGGUGGAUGGGGCUGGUUUGGUUCCUUGUUUUUCAUGUAAGUGCUUCAUCUCCAUUUCAAAUAUCUGAGCAUUCUGAUAUUACCAAAUAGCUGUUGGUUGCACUUGAACCUAGAUUUUCGUGGUGCUUCAGCAAGUUGCGAGAUUGUGCGAAUAAGUUUGUGCAGUAUUUUAAAAAGAAGGCUGCAUAUUUUCUUUCAUCAGUAUGUUGGCCAUAUCUGGGUGUCUUGAUUUUCUUUGGGCUUGGUGCUUUUGAAAGUCAUGGAUAGCUGAAGGUCCUUCAAACCUGUGAAUUGCCACGAAUCUUAGCCCUACACAAAUGGACGGACAAGUAUUUGUAAAACUAUUUCUAACAUUUUAGGCGACUAUUAUCAAUCCAUAGAUCUUCAAGGCCAAAAAUCGAACGUUUACAGAGGGAUGGAGACGGUAUUAUCAUUUCUAGUUUGUAGUCUGGGAGAAGAGAUUAUCUCAUCUAGUGCGUGUGCAGGUUGUUACUUGCCUUUGUCGUGUACAUGGCUGUAGGCAUUGGUUACCGUGUAACUGUUCUCGGUGUGAGUGGAUUUGAGGUAAGUUCCUAGAAGAUUGUCGUCUGUUUGCAUUGCAUAAAAUUGCUUAUUUUGAUCAGGUUUGCUGUUACCGUACAUCUAAAUCUGAUUAAAGUGACUUUUGUACGAUAAAAGGGAUAACCUAUUCAUAAACUAAAAGUAUGUUAGUUACCAAUGUGUAUCACCAUGUACAUUGAUAAUUUUAAAGCAUCUUAUUACCAAUGUACCUCAAAGUUGAUGUACGUUGGCCGGCUGUGCAGGCAAUUCCGAAUCUGGACACUUGGCGCACCCUUCCAUCAAAGAUCCAGGUAUUUCCUAGUAUGCCAAGCGCCCCUUAUGCAGCUUAGUGGUGGUGGAAGAAGUUGUGCAGUGCAAUCGUAGCUUACCUCUGGCAAUCAGUGAUUUCUGAGAGCUGACCACAAUUGCCUGUCGCAAGCUGUCCUUUGCACGUUGCCCUAUUCUCUAAUUUCCGUGCUCCUAUGACAUAAAGAAUCGGCGAAGCUUGCAUCCUUUUUUCCCGAGUCCUACGUUUGUUUCAUGUCUCUAACUACCUCAAAGUUUCUUGUCAUAAGAUGUCUUUGACAGUUUUUAUUUAUUUAUUUCGGUUGGUUUGUGUGCAGCUCUUCAUUGAGUACAUCAUUUCGCAAUGCAUGGACCUCUACUACCGCCUCACGGAAAACUCAUAUUCUCGAGUCAAUACAUGAAGUACGCAGAAUUAACUAAAACUCAUAUUCUCGAGUCAAUACAUGAAGUACGCAGAAUUAACUACAACCCGUUAUCUAGUUGCUCAAGAUGGUUCAACACAAUAGGAGUAAUGUGAAGAAGUAUCCUCUUUUGUUCGAAAAUCGUAGUAUCUGGUUCUCUGAAUACUUGUGCAUGUGUUCGAAAAUCGUAGUAUCUGGUUCUCUGAAUACUUGUGCAUGUGUUCCAUAGAGGAAAUGUUUGUGUGUUCAUCCGGGAGUUGAACGUUGUCCACUUGAUCGUUUGGAUAAUUUUUAAAGCUUCGUUUCUUGAAACCCUGAACAUGUGUGGACUCUCCCUUCAAAUAGUAAUGGUUGUGCUACGGUGCUAAACCUAUGUCAACUGCGAACUAUCAACUCCCAUUUCUACAAAAACCUAUAAGCCAUCCAGAACUAACGGGACGAUUAGAGGUUGUUCUAAACACACAUUACGCAUUCAACACACCUGCGCUCGUGAGGCAGAAAUUACAUAGAGAUGGUAGUAGCUCUACAAUUCUAUAUUGCACAAUGCGUCAUUGAAAACCACUGACUGUGGCACAACUUUACAGGCUUGCACUGAGCAGCUGUUCAAGCAGGAUGAUCUCAUCCUUGCAUCCCAGAAAGGACUUGAUUCUCUGUGAAUGCCACCAAAAUUACAAACUAGACUUCUUCAGAUGAAUACUUCAUUUGAAAGGCUCAUUGUAUUACAGAUAGGGAGAAAGCAGGCGUUACUUUAUUUACUGUCUAGAACUUCCACCAAUGGCGACGGGAUUUCGAAGGCCGAUCAUAUGGCCACGGCUGAUGUCCCACUCCGUCGGAGCUGCAAAAAUAAUUCCCAUCAUUCCCCUCAGACUUUUAAAGUCUAAGGUAUUUGUGCGCCACACGUAUCACUACUUGCAAGUGAGCUCAUGUAAGCAUACAUUUUUCAGAGAACUCAAAAUGCACAAAAAUGAUUCAUACAGUAGCAAGGAGCUUUGUUCACCUCGAGAGAAACGGAUCAGGAAGAUUUUCAACGAAGGUAAUCAGACUGCCGUAAUCACAUAACACACCAACGGAUAUUAUAUCAUGGGUCCCAACGUCAGUUCCAGUUGCAUGAUUAUGGAAUAAUUCUACGUAUGAUCUUUAAGGAUAAACCUAGCCAUGGUAUUCUGACGAUUUCAGGUACCUAUUCUACUAUACCCUAGUAAACAACAAACGCAGUGUGACAGAGUAACUGAUGCAAAACAACUCUCUGUUUCAGUUCCACUUUCUAACUUGAAGAUUUAUCCCAAACAAAAAGCGAUAAACAAGGUAAAAUGGACAUGACCAUACGCAUUCACAGGAGGAUGUAGUUGCAUAUCAAAUAGGAAGGAAAAUGUGUACACUCACUCUUUGCAGGCCUUCGACGCGAGAGGUGUGUUGUUCAAAACCUCCAACUCCUCCUGUAAAGGAAGAUGUUAUCUCAUUACGUAAUAUAACGACGAAUAUUUUUGCAUGUCACAUUCGCAUAUUGAGCCAGUUCUUCAUUUCGAAUCAGUUACAUAAAAAUAACUCGAAAGACAUGACACUACAUUUGAUGAUGUUUAGCAACAGGUAAAAGUUAAGAGACUUCAUGACAAGCUCACCUGGAGAAGCUGAAUUUCAUUGUUCAGAUGCUGCAGCUCAGUCUGCUUGCGAUUACGCCCGCGUCCGAGAAGUGGAGCGGGAGUGGACGCGGUUGCCUGAGGCCGAGAAUUCAUGGGCAGGUAAGGACUGGGCCGGCAAACGAUAUCGCUCGCUUAUCAGUACAAUCUUAGCUAGCACACCCUUUCAAGAACUGAUGCACAAAGGCCACCGAUUGAUCAAUCGAAAACAGGUAAACUAACCCCAAUGUCGUCGCGAACUAUUUCAAUCCUCCUGCAAAACCUCCAAGCACAGCACAAUUUUCAACCGUCACCGAGAAUCUAAUCAUACAAAAGUUCCAAACGAUUUCGGACGGCUACCACCAGAGUCCGCCAAAAAUCACUCAGUAGCUGAGCUCGAAUGACUUUCCUGGAUUAUGAACCAACUCUAAACUCCGGGGAACUCAAAUCGCCACACCCUCUCCCCUUGACAGAACGAGCAGAAUGACUCAAUGAAUCAUCAAACACGAGCAGUCCAAAACAACUCAGGGCAGCAGCGAACAACCCUCUCGAAAACUCAUUUCAUGAAAUGUUGAUUCAGUCAAAAUCGAUCGGCUUUCACUAAAUUUUGAGGAGAAUGGGGCUGGAAGAUUGAGCUGCGCCGAGAGGAAGCAACUCACGAGGAGGAGGAGGGAACCGCGCCAUGGCCAGCCGAUUCCCUGCACAACACUACACACCCCCCCUCCCUUCCCCCUCGCCUUCUGUCCCGACGUUGUCCCUCCGGUCAAAGGACCUUUACGUAGCUGUCACCCCUGUGACCGGGGAAAAGAAGACAUCCUAAGACCGAUAUUGAAAGCCCACGGUAUGUUGGAACGAUCGGGCUGCCAGUCGCAUUUUGGGUCGACGCACCCAUUACCACUUCAUGCAAGUAUUUGUCAAUGGGAAAGAAUUUGCAUAUUUUAUUUGUGAGAAGUGGUGGAGGUGCCUACGAUCAUGAUCUAGUUCUAUUAGGGCAUUGAUGUUUACCAAAUUGGUAUACAUUUUUUUAAUAAAACUAUACAUGUAGAUGUUUUUUGCUAUUAAUAUUUUUACUUAUUCUUUGAUAUGUUUUUUUUUUUUUUUUUAUUUUUAUUGCAAUAAUGUCUAUGUAAUUGAGUAGAAAAAACAUCCCUUAAUAUAUGUUUAUUGAUAUUUUUAAGUGUUUACAUAUAGCUCAUUUGUAAAAUAUCAUGAGAAAUGGAUCCUAUGAAGUUAUUUACUACUAAAUUGAAGAUUGUAGUCUAUACAAGCCAAAUAACAUUAAAACUCUAAAUAUUGAGUUAAUAAGUGAAUGAAGUUUCUUCUUCAAAGAUAUUCAAAUUAAGAUAAUUUUUUUUCAUUGUUUUAAAAAUCUAUGUUUUCAAUGAAAGAUCUUAAAAUAAUUAGAUUAUUCAAAAUCUCUUUAAAUAACUUAUUUUUAACAAGAGUAGGAAUACUCAAAAUCUUAAUCUGAUAUUUGACAAGGAAGGUAUUAAUUAUCUUAAAUUUAGUAAGUAGAAUAAUAUGAAUCUCAAACAAUCUAAUAAAUUAUACAAUAUUAUAGUGUAAUAUUGUAAAUAACUAUUAUAAAACUAAUAAAUUCUAUAUCUAUUUUAAAGAACAACUUUUAAUUUUAUUUGGUUUUUUUGUUAAUUAAAGAUAAUAAAAUUUCCAUUAUCAAUAAUAUAAUUUUUUUCAAAAGUAAAGAACAUUUUUUAGAGGAUUGUUAUCUUAUUAAGCACAAAAUUCUUCUUAUUCAUUUCUUUGAUUAAGGAUGUAGUACUUAAAGAACUCUUUUAGAAAUGUUUUAAUGAGGGUGUUAGUAUUUUUUUAAAUAAAUUCAAGAAGCAAAAAAUAAUAAAAUAUAAAUUUUUAUUUUUUUACCUAAACUCUAUUUUUAAUUAAUAUAAUAUAAAUACUUUAUAGAAAAGAGAUAAGACUCCAAUCUUAAAUUUAAUGUUAUUACAAUAGAAGAUUUGUAAAAUGUAUUAUUAGUCAAGGCUUGAAAAAUAAACAAAAUUAUAUAAUAUAUAUUUUAAAAGUAACCUUUAUAAGACUCAAAACUUUUAUGAGUAAAUUAAAAAUAGUAUAAUAGAUUGUACAAUAGUGGAACUUAAAAAAAAAAAAAAAAAAAAAAAAAAAAAUAGUAUUUUGAGCUUUUUAGAACUAAUGUAUUGAAUUCUAACAAUUUGAAAUCUAAGAUGUGAUAUAUCUCAAUAUAAAGUACUUCUAAAAACUUGCGUACAAAUAUCUAAUUUUUUUAAAAAUAUUUUAUCUCUAAAAAAAAUAUAAAUAUUUUUGUAAAUUUACAAAUAGAAAUAUACAAUACAACCUUAAAACUUUAUAAGAUUUGAUAAUAUUUUAAUAUAUAUAGUAAAACAUAUACUUAAAAAUUUAAAAUAUAUCUUCCAAAUGUUUCAUAAUUUGAUGAUUUAUAGAAAUAAUAAACCUCAAAUAUACAUAAUAUUAUAUAUCUUUAAAUAUGUUAUUUUAUCUUUUUAUUAAUUAUAUAGCUUACAUUUUUAUACAUAUAUUGUAUCUUAUAGCAUAUUAUUUUAUGCACAUUUUCAUAUAUAUGCAAUAUGUAGUACCAUUAAUAAGGUUGCGUAAAAAAAAUAAUACAUUAAUAUAGAUAAUAAAAAUUAUAUAAUAUAAGACAUAAUGUAAUAUAAUUAUUUUAUUAUUAAUAACAAAGAUAUUAUAUUUUUUUAUAUUGAUGGUCACAUAAGAUAAUUACAUGCAUAAUUUGUAAUAUAAAAAUCUAACAUUAUAACAUUAAAUAUAAUUAUAAUACUAUAAUAUUAUUUAUUUAAUAUAAUAAUAUUAUUAUUUAUUUAAUAUAAUAAUAUUAUUAUUUAUUUAAUAUAAUAAUAUUAUUAUUUAUUUAAUAUAAUAAUAUUAUUAUUUAUUUAAUAUAAUAAUAUUAUUAUUUAUUUAAUAUAAUAAUAUUAUUAUUUAUUUAAUAUAAUAAUAAUAUUAUUUAUUUAAUAUAAUAAUAAUAUUAUUUAUUUAAUAUAAUAAUAAUAAUAAUAAUAAUAUUUAUUUAAUAUAAUAAUAAUAAUAAUAAUAUUUAUUUAAUAUAAUAAUAAUAAUAUUAUUAUUUAUUUAAUAUAACAACAAUAAUAUUAUUAUUUAUUUAAUAUAAUAAUAAUAAUAUUAUUAUUUAUUUAAUAUAACAACAAUAAUAUUAUUAUUUAUUUAAUAUAAUAAUAAUAAUAUUAUUAUUAUUAUUAUUAAAUAAUUUGAUUACAAGUAGUUGCUUUAUAAGCAUUUUAUUUUAUUUCAUGAUUAUUGGUUUAGAUGUUCUUUACUUGGAGUAGUAUGUACCUUUAAACUAUAAGAUUUUGAUGUCUAUGUAGCCAUUAUGUUCUUGCAUCUUGUUUGAUAAGAAUAAUUAGUAUGAAAAAAAUGCCUCAAUUUGCUAUGAUCUUAUUUUCUUCAACUAGUUUUGUUAGGAUCUAAUUAUAUAUACUAAGUACAAUAAAUUUGAAUUAGUAUGAAAUGCAUGUUGGUUCAAAAGUGGUAGAUGAUACAGAAUCAAAUUAAUUUCUUGUGAUAUACACAAUUAUUGAUAUGGCAAUGACUACAACUUCAAUCACAAUGUUUGUUGUUGUUGAAAUAAAAAGCUCUUCGAUCUUAUGCCUGAGAUUUUCAAAAGUACAACUAACCUUAAAUGUGUUGCUUUUUGGUUUCAUUGAUUUGAUAAGACCUUAUUUUUCAUUUAAAAUUAUGUUUGUAAUUGAUACGACUUAAAAUUUAGUUUUCAAUCUUUUCAACCUAUAAAAAUAAUAGAUGCCAGUAUAAUAUUUUUGAAUAUAGCAUUCAUUAGUGGAGGCAUGAAAUUAAAUAAGUUUCUCAUUAUAUCUUACAUCACUUGGUGUAAACGCAAUUUUAGAAAUCAUUUCAUAUACUUUUCAAUUUUUUUUGUAAGCAUGUACCAACAAAUAUUUGUAAUAUAGUUUUAUGUUUUAGGUAGAGAUAAAUCUAAUUUAUUUGAGCCAAUUCUAAAAAAUGAGAAUUUUCAAUUGAAUGAUUUUCUUUGAGUAAUAUCAUGUGUUGAAUUUCUUAGUUUAAUAAAUAACUAUCUAAUUCCUUAACAACAAGUUAUACUAUCUUAUAGUGCUUUGUCUUAUUCUUGUAUUACUUUGUAUAUUGACCUACAUUGUUAUUAAGUUUAUUCUCAUUAAGGCCUUUUUUGGACAACAUUGGAUCCAAGCUGGCUCAUUUUCCUACUAGCUUAGCCUUCACAUUCCUAUUCUUGUCACGGACACAGAAAUUAUCACGGACAUAGAAAUACAGGCUCGAGAUCUAACAAGAAGUUCAAGAAGAACUGCCAAGAACUAGAUUAAUCAGAUGAAUACAAGAACAACACCAAAGAGGUGAGCUAGAGGUCCUAGAGAUGUGUUGUCGAGACUGAAGAACUCUUCAGCCUCGAUUCCAAUAUAUACUCCUAUUUAGGAAACUUCUCAAGUAACUUCUACCAAUUAGGAAGCUUCUAUAAGGUUCUAAGAACUAUGUCCCUAACAUCACCCCCUCCUUUAGCUUCGAGGUCUCUGAGAAGCAAUGUUGUUGUAGAUCAGUACCAACGUAAGAAAAUGAAGAUCUGUUACAUAACAUUUGCAAUGAAUAUCAACUGGUGUUCACGAGACAAGUGGUUCAUCAACCCUUGAACCAAUGGUAGUGGCCCACGCCUUCGACUUCUGACCAAGCAUGAACUUCUGUGUCCUCAUUGUGAAAUUGUCUUGCAAACACGCCUUCUGGCUGACCAUCAUAAGCAGGCUCGAACUCAAAUACAAUCACCAGUGAUCGGUUACUCGGUAUCCUCCGUCGUCGUUGUGGUGUAGGUAGUUCUUCAUCUCAAGGUCGCCUUCGUGAGCUAGUCAGUUGAGAUAAUAUGAUUGGCAUAAUAUCUAUCUCUUGGCUAUCCAUAUCAGAAGACCAAACUAUGGCUACUAAAAAAAUUCUACUUUAUUUUGGAGAAAAUAACUACAUCAAUUACAAAUUUUGGUGGUACUCUCCCCCUUUCUUAUAUUCUGGGGUGAGCAAGCUUCAGAAGGAAGCUAUCGUCGAACCGGCUUAGGUUUAUGAGGAUGUUGUUGAUGAAACUCCUGUACCUUUUGCGACGCAUUGGCGAGAUUUUCAGCUGGCUCCCACGUUUGCUCAUUAAUGUCGUAGUUGCACCAAUGAACAAGAUACUCCAACUUGCCCCACCUUUGCCAUGAAUCCAGUACCUUUUUGACCUCGUAUUCCUCGUGGUUCUCAAUCUCAAUACUAGGUGGCGGAUAUUGCACUCUUCUAGGAAAAGACGACUCUUGAUAAGGCUCCAACAGAGAAACAUGAAAGAUUCGAUGUACCUUCAUAGAAGCCGGUAAUUCCAGACGAUACGCCACUAGAUUGAUUUGCUUUUGGAUGAUAAAUAGUCCCAAUCUUCAAUAGUCCAACUUAUCACAUAGUCGCUUCGUCUUGAUAUUCCGUCGAAGAAGCCAUGCUUUAUCUUCAAUUUUGAAAGUAGGUGCUUGAUUCCAAAAUCUAUGUGCAGUCGCCCUGUAGGAUUUUUGAGCGGAUUGUAAUUGAAGCUUCAAUGUAGUUUGAAGCUUUGAUAGUUGCUUCGCAAAUCCUUCAGCUGCUAGAUUGUUAUUUGUUGACGGACUCAAUAAAUCAAGCUUCGGAUGAUAUCCAUAGUUGGAAAAGAAUGGUGUAUAUUGAGUCGAUACAUGGAGGGUGUUGUUAUAUGCAAACUCGGCUAGCGACAGAUAUGCGAUCCAAUCGUCUUAUUGAUAGGUCAUGCUGCAUCGUAAGUAUUGUUCCAAGACUUAGUUCACCCGUUCCAUUUGGCCGUCAGUUUGAGGAUGAAAAGUCGAAGAAAGCUUGAUAUCCACCUUCAGUAUCUCAAAGAGAGAUCUCCAAAACUUUGACAUGAACUGGGUUCCUCGAUUUGAUACGAUAUGAUCUGGUAGUCCAUGAUAUCGAUACACAUUAUUGAAAAAGAGCCUUGUUGUGACUUCACUAGAUGAUAUUUUCUUACAAGGGACAAAGUGCGCCAUCUUUGUAAGCCGAUCUACUACGACAAAGAUGCUGUCAAAUGAAUUCGAUGAUGGCAGGUCCGUGAUGAAGUCCAUGAAAAUUGAAGACCAUGGUCGACGUGGAAUCGACAAUGGCUAUAGAAGUCCAUAAGGGCAAUGGCGAGGAUUCUUGGAUCUUAAACAGAUGUCCCAGGAGAAGACAAAAUCUUUCACAUCCUUCUACAUUUGAAGCCACCAAAAAUCUCGAAAAAUAAGCUCUAAGGUCUUGUUGAAUCCAAAAUGUUCCGCAGUUGGAAAAUCGUGGCGAGAUUGAAGAACUCGGAGUUGUGCUAGUCCUUUUGGAAUAUACAACCACUCCUCAAAGUAUAAAAGAUCUACCUCCACCUUGAACUUGUCGUCAUUGGCACGCUGCUUGAUAUCAAUGGCUACUGAAUCUUCAAUGGUCAUGGCAUGUACCUGGUUCAGGAAGUCGACAUCAAUUGGCACAAUAGUAGCACAAAGCCGAAAUUGCUCUGGCUUCAAGAACGUCAUACAUUGUUGAUCAAACACUGCUUCUCCAACCUUUGGUACAAGAUAUAAUCUCCUCGAUAAGGCAUCGAAUAGUCGUUGCUACUUUUCAAGUCGAUAAGUGAUAACAAAAUUGAACCUAGACAGCGACAUACCCCAUCAAGCUUGACGUCGAUUUAGAACUCGAGCCAAUAUGAAAUACUCCAAAUUCUUGUGAUCCGUGUAUACGGUCACUGGGUGUGUAGCUCCUUCAAGAAAGUAAUGCCAUUCUUGGAAAGAAUCCACUAUAGCAAGAAGUUCCUUAUCGUGGAUCUCAUAAUUGAUUUCAGUAGUAGAGAACUUUCGAGAAUAGAAUGCAACCAGAUGGAGCUUCUUGUCUUCUCCCAUUUAUGGAAGUACAGCUCUCAAAGCAAAAUCCGAAGCAUCAGUUUCUAAAUAGAAGGCCUUUGUAAAGUUUGGAUGUACCAAGAUUGGAGCCAUAGUAAAUGUCGUCUUCAGGUCUUGAAAUGCCUUCUCCGCUAGAGGUCCCCAUUCCAGCUUAUCCUUCCAUGUCAACCGAGUAAGAGGAGCAGCAACUUGAGAGUAAUUCUUGAUGAAGAUCCGAUAGAAGUUAGCAAACCCAAGAAAGCAUUGUACGUCUCUAACCGUCUUCAAAACCUCUCAGGAUACGAUUGCUUCCACCUUCUUGGGGUCAAUCUUCAAGCCUUUCAUAGUCGCAACGAAUCCCAAAAACUCCAUCUCUAUUUAGUAAAAUAAACACUUCUCCAACUUGACAUAUAGUCCUUGCUCGCAUAGUUUCUCCAAGACCAAACGAACAUGCUUUUCAUGCUCUUCUUCGUUUUUUUGGAGAAUUUCAAAAUAUCAUCCAAGUAGAUGACAACAAAAUCGUCAAGGUGCUCCCAAAAAAUGUCACUCAUCAUAUGUUGGAAGACCGCUGGAGCAUUGAUAAGACCAAAGGGCAUGACAUUAUACUCAAAAUAGCCAUACCUUGUACGAAAUGAUGUCUUCUAUUCAUCUCCUUCCUUGAUUCGUAUGAGAUUGUAAGCUCCCCUUAGAUCAAUUUUUGUAAAGAUCCUUGCACGUCCAAGUUGUUCUAAGAGACCAGAAAUUAAGGGUAACGGAUAACGAUUCUUCUUUGUUACCUUAUUGAGGCCUCGAUAGUCCACGCACAUUUGCAACGAGCCAUCUUUCUUCUUCACAAAUUAGAUGGGUGCUCCAGUUGAUGAUUUCGAAUGACAGAUGAAGUUCUUGGCUAGAUUCUCGUCAAUGUACUUCCGCAACUCCACCAACUCUAUCUGUGAUAGAUUGUAGAUUAGGCCAAAAGGCGGUUGUGCUCCUUCCUGCAAGUCUAUGGCGCAAUCAUAUGGUCGGUGUUUUGAUAGCAUGUCGGCAUUUUUCUUUUGAAACACGUCUUUAAAAUCCUUAUAUUGCUUUAGUAUACUUGUUGUCGAGAUCUUCUCUCCGGUAGUUGUAGCCACAUAAAUGACAAACGGUGUGCCUUCCUUGGACGAUCUUACAAACGCUCUUGCUCCAAUGAAUAAGGAUUUCUCUAUUUGGGAUUUUCUACUAGGCUUGUUCUUGGAUGGUUUUGUGGAAAAGGUCAUCUUCCGCAACCUCCAAUCUAUGGAUGGAUUAUGCUGUUCCAACCAGGAAAGACGAAGAAUAAUAGGAUUUGAUGGGGUUUUAAUAAUAUUGAAAAUAAUAUGACUACUAUGGCCCUUAAACGUCACUUUUAUAGGUUUUGAUUCAUGGGUGACACUACCAGACAAUAAAGGUCGUCCAUCUAUGACCUCAACGUGAACAGGUUUGGAUUUUUGUACUAAAGGGAUAUUAUGACGCUUCGCAAAUUCUUCAUCUAAGAAACAAGCAGAUGCUCUUGAAUCUAAUAAUGCUAAGGUUCUCAAUUUUUGAGGGCCAAUAAAUAAAGGGAUUGUAAAACAAAGGGCAGGUUGAACGGAAAGAAAGGAACUUGGUUGUUAUUGCGAUAUUUCACUAUCCAACCACACGAUUCCUAUUGUGGCUGGGCAUCCUCGUUUUCUUGAACAAAUGUGCCCCUGGUCCUGAUAGUGCGUCAAUUUUGCUUCUUGGGGCAGUUUCCAACUUUGUGGCCUUCUUCACCGUAAUAUAAGCAUAUACCUUCCUCCAUAUGCUGUUUUUUUUCUUCUAGAGUAAGGGAUUUGACACGUACCACAUCAAUUUGCAUGUCUUCUACCUCUGAAUGUGAAUUCACGCUGCUUGUCGAUAUAGUUGGGGCGUGGCGAACCGUAUGUUGUCUUGAGCGUUGGACUUGGCGACAUUGGAAUAAGAGAUUAUUGCACUUCACAGCUUGGCUAAUAGCUUUGUUGAGCAUUUGCGGAUCACGAAGAGUUAACAACAAAUCCUUCACAUCGUCCUUUAAAGCCCAAUAGAAUUGACUCAUCGAUGCUUCUUCGUCUCUAUUGAUGUUGCAUGCUAAUUGCCUGAAAUCCAAUGCAUAGACUGAUGUAGAGCGCAUCCCUUGUCGUAGUGACCGGAUCUUUGUUGUAGCCCAUUAAACCUUGUCGUAUUCACCAAAUGCUUCCGCAAAUGCCUCCAAAAAGGUUUCAAAGUUGUUUAGUAUGGACAAUCGUUUCUCAAACAAAGGAACAAACCAUGAUAGAAUUUGCCCUGUAAGUAAGGUUCCAAUAAGCCCAACACGUGACUCCUCCGUUGGAUAGCGUUUGGGCUAUAAAAUUGUUAUCAACAUGAUUUGAUUGACGAAUCCUCAAAACUUGUAGCGCAUACGAUUGAACUUGUCCGAAAGGCUAACUCAAGGCUCCUUAUGUUGUAGAAUCAACGGUGCUUGUCAAACCUGAGGCAAAGUUGCUUCUCCAAGUGUAGAAGUUUGAGGCUGGUGCAACCUAGAUUGUGCCAUCCCAGAUGCUCCAUCAUUAUGAAGCCUUGCCACGACUCCUUCAAUCUCUGCAGUUCUUUACGAUAAUGUAGUGAGGGCAUUCAUGAUAGCAUCUAAUUUGGACUCCGAACUUUCCGUCAUACUAAUGUCUUGGCCUUCGGCCAUUCUAAUAGAAGGACAGAAAUGACUCUAUAAGAAGACAAUAUUGGUUUAGAGGAGGGUACUCCGCAACCUCUAAAAUGCCUUAAGAACUUCAAGAAAAGGGAUAAUCCACUCUCUCCAAGAAGAAUAAGACUCUAAUAUUAUAACAAAAGAAGUAUCAGUUUAGAAGAAGGUAAUCCGCAACCUCUAAAAUGCUAAUACACCUUCAAGCAGAGGGGUAAUCCACACUCUAACGAGGAAGAAACUAGCUUUGAUAUCUCAGGUGAGUUCAAUCUCGACAAAGUAUCACAAACAUAGAAAUUGUCACGGACACAGAAAUACAAGCUCGAGAUCUAAUAAGAAGUUCAAGAAGAAUUGGCAAGAACUAGAUUAAUCAAAUGAAUACAAGAACAACACCAAAGAGGUGAGCUAGAGCUCCAAGAGAUGUGUUGUCGAGACUGAAGAACUCUUUAGCCCUAAUUCUAAUAUAUACUCCUAUUUAGGAAACUUCUCAAGUAACUUCUAUCAACUAGGAAGCUUCUAAAAGGUUCAAGAGACUUGCUUCUAGAAGGUUCUAGAGACUUGUCCCUAAAAGGUUUUAAGGACUAUGUCGCUAACAUCUUCUACCAAUUAGGAAGCUUCUCAAGCAACUUCCAUCAACUAUGAAGCUUCUAGAAGGUUCCAGAGACUUACUUCUAGAAGGUUCUAGAAACUUGUUUCUAGAAGGUUUUGAAGGACUAUAUCCCUAACAAUUCUAGUACUUUCUCAUUCAUAUAACAUUUGUGAGUAGCAAAAAAUGUGGUGGUUUUUGUAAAGUAAUAAUACUCUUUAAAGAAAAUAAAUUAAGAUAAGGCAUUAAAAACAAUAAGUUUGAAGGCAAUAGUACAAAUUGAGACUAAUAUAUAAAUAUUUUGUAUCAAUUUGUUAAAAAUCACAUAUUAGAUGGAUUUUUAUUUAUUUAUUAUAUUAGUUCUUGGUAUCACGGAUAUAUACAUGUAAGCAAGUAAUUACCUAUAUAAAUAGAUAGAAGUAAGUAGAAGUAGAUAAAAGUAAGUUAAUUCUAUAAUUUCUUCUAUAGAAGCUUUCUAGAAGCUCUAUAGAUACUACUUUGACUUUAUAGGUGUCUAUAAUUGAUUUUUUGGAUUAGAAAAGUGGUCAACAAGUUGGCCAUGUGCCACACAUGUUGUUAGCUUGAAGACUAAGCUAACUAUGUGGCUUACACAUAGAAAAACUUGCCUUGUAAGUCAAGGCAUGUGUCUUACAAAGUCAACACAUAUUGGAGGUCUUAUAGAACAUUGCCACAUAGCUCCUAGUUAGAUAGUAUAUAUAGAGACAAGAAUGAAGCCCUCUUCACUCUUGUCAACUCUUUUCUUGCUUCUAAGUUAAUUUUAAGAAUCUCAAGUUUCCUUGUCUUUUGGCAAUAAGUCAUUCCCGUUUCUUUUUAAUAUACGUACUUCUUUAUUUCUAUUUUGUUACUCUUUCUUUGACAUAGAUUUCAUUGAUUUUUGCAUUAUCUUUUAAUUUAUGUUCUUGACAGCUUGACAAAAGUACACUUAUAAUAUCAGAGCUUUGUCUUGUCUUGAUUAAGAGUAGAUUAUCCCUUUCUCAUGAUAAGACAUAAACAAAUUAGAAGUUGCGAAUUAUCCUCUUCUAAAUUGAUAUUGUUUUUAAUAUUUUCUUUGUCCUCAAGCCUUUUUUUCUACUUGUCUUUAGUAAUAUUUGAUAUUUAUUUGAGUGUUAUUAUAGGAGAGCUUGUUGAAAUGAAGAAUGCAAUGGUACAAAACCAAGAGCAAUUGAGGGAGUUGAUGCUUGCAAUGCAUCAAUUAAGCUUACUACCACAAGGAUUAAGAAGAAUGACAAGAAAUGAGGAUAUAGAGAUGAUUAAAGUUGCUUCAAUAUCUGCACCAAAUCAUGUCCCUCCACCCAUGGUAGAACAUUCUUCAAGUGUUAGAGAACCAAGAGUUAAUUUGCUCAAGAAGUUUGAUGGUACAAGAUCCAAAUUUUAAAGAUUUAUCAAUCAAAUAUAACUUGUGAUUGAAGUUCAACUUCAAAGCUAUCCAACUCAAGGAUCACAAGUUAGAUUCAUUGUUACACUUCUUUUAGGUUCAACACUAUUAUGGUUUUUAUCUUUUUUUGAAUUACGAGAUCCAAUAUUAAAUAAUCUGGAGGCAUUUUUGGCAAAAUUUUGGUCUAUGUAUGGAAAACAUAAUGCAACUUGUGUUUCAACCAAUAAGAUCCAUAUUUUGCAACAAUGCAAUUGAUCUAUAAUAUUAUAUGCUUUACAAUUUCAACAGUUUGCAACUGAUAUUAAGUGGGAUGAUGUUGCACUUAUUAGCCAAUUUCUUUAUAGAUUACAAAUGAAGUAAAGAAAUUGAUGCUCAACUUACCUGAUCUUCAAAUAUUGAAUCAAGCAAUUGACUUUAUUGUGAAAUGUGACAAUCAAAAUUUUAAAUUUUGAUCUAAGAGUCGCACAAAUGGGCCUCAACAAUACUGUAAUUCAAUGGCAAUACCAACAUCUCUUCAAGACAUACAUUGAGAAGUAGAGGAUAUGCAAAUUGAUGCGGUACAUUUUAAAAUGUCUUAUUGAGCAAGAAAAGACUCAUUGCCAUCAAUAAGGAUUGUACUUAUAUUAUAGAGAAUCUUAAUACUUUGUUCAACAUUAUCCAAAGAAGCCACAAAAUCAAAAAAUGAGGAGCACAUCUGUCAAAGAAGACAAUGUGUUAGAAAACAAAUUUGUCUAGCUACAAUAGGGAUUGUGUAGCUAGAAUCUUAUACAAUUUUAAAUGAAGAUCAUAUCUUCUACUCAAAAACCUCUUCUUAUUUUAUAAUAGAUAUACAUUUAGGAUCUAAUAAUUAUAAAGCCUUUGCCCUGAUAGAUUCAAGAGCCUCAGCUUAUUUUUUAGACGUAGAAUUUGUUAAAAGUCAUAAAAUACCAUUAGUACAAAAAACCAAACUUGUUCAUGUAGAAAUCAUAGAUGGUCAUCCGUUGUCUUUUGGAGAUGUAAUUCAUCAAAUACUUCCUAUAGAUGUAGCAAUAAAUGGUCAUAGUAGUUGCAUAAUCUUUAAUAUAAUUAGAUCUCUCUCUAAUCUAGUUAUUUUAGAUUUAUUAUGGUUGAAAAAAUAUAAUCUUUGCAUAGAUUGGAUUUCUCAUACUCUUGAUUUUUCUAAAAGCAUAAUAAAGAGUAAAAUUAAUCCAAUAGAAAGUCAUAAGUCUAGUGCAAUUAAACCUAUGUUUAUAUGUGAAAGAGCUUUCUUGCAUGUUGUAAAAGAAGGAUCACCUUAUGUCAUUUACGAUACAUCUGUUUCUAAUGAUGCAAAGACUUCAAGUGGCAUUUCCAACCAAUAUCAAGAAUUUCAAGUUGUAUUUGAAAAGAAGAAUGUGGAUACUCUUCUAAAACAUCAUCACUAUGAUUAUUCAAUUGACAUUCAUGAAUGAACACAACUGUCAUUUGGAUCAAUUUAUAGUUUAUUACAAAAUGAAUUGAAUGAACUCAAGGAAUAUAUUGAAGAAAAUUUGGUCAAGAAUUUCAUAUGCCAUUCCAAAUUACUAGUAAGAGGGCCAAUUUUAUUUGUGAAGAAGAAAGAUGGAUCAUUGCGGAUGUGUAUUGAUUAUCAAAGAUUCAAUAAGAUCACCAUCAAGAAUAGAUACCUUCUACUUUUGAUAUCUAGACUUCUGGAUCAAAUAAAUCAAGUUAAGAUCUACACAAAAAUAAAUCUAUGGAAAGCAUACAAUGUAGUACGCAUUAAAGAAGGAGAUGAAUAGAAGAUUGCAUUUCGAACUAGGUAUAUGCAUUUUGAAUAUAACAUCAUGCCUUUUGGGCUUACAAAUGCACUAGCGACUUUUCGAUAUCUAAUGAAUGAUGUUUUUCAAGAAUUUUUAGAUAAUUUUAUUAUUUGUUAUCUAGACGACAUCUUGAUCUAUUCUAAGAACAUAGAUGAAUAUAAACUUCAUAUUUAUUGUAUGUUACAAAAAUUAAGAGAUACGAAACUGUAUGCCAAAAUAUAAAAGUGUAUAUUCUAUACUAUUCAAGUCGACUUCUUACGAUAUAUCAUUUCAAAUGAUGGACUUAUGAUGGAUCCUUAGAAAGUUCAAAUAAUUAUGGAUUGGAAGAUUCCAAAAAUGAUAAGAGAUAUCCCAUGCUUUUUGAGCUUUUCCAACUAAUAUUGGAUCUUUAUCAAAGACUUUUCUCGAGUUGUAGCUCUACUUACAUGUUUGACUUGCAAAGACAAACUUGAAUAGAGCAAAGAAUGUGAAGCAUCUUUUGAAACUUUGAAGUUAGCCUUUAUUUUUAUACCAAUCUUGUAUUGCGUCAACUUUUCUAAGGCAUUUUUCAAGGAAAAAGUUACAUCAGACUUUACUUUGGGUGUCGUAUUAUUAUAAAUGGAAACAAAUGAUAAAUUUCAUCAAGUAGCUUUUCAUUCUAAAUUUUUUUCAAUAACCGAGAUUAACUAUGAAAUCCACGACAAAGAACUUCUUGUAAUCAUGGAUUUGUUUCAAGAAUGGCGUCAUCAUCUAGGAGGCGCUUCUAAUCCAAUCACCGUAUAUAUGAAUUAUAAGAAUCUUGAGUACUUCAUGUCAACACAUGUUUUAAAUCAUCGCCAAACCUAUUGGAGCAUGUCUUUAUCAAGAUUUGAUUUCAAGAUCACAUAUCGACUUGAAAAACAACAAGGUUUAUUAGACGCCCUUUCUAGACAUUCUUCUCUUAUAUCGAAAGAUGGAGAUGUAUCUUUUCAUCACCAAAGAAUAAUUUUCCUAAAGCUAGAGCAUUUUCAUCUUUGACUAAUGAAAUCAACAUUGACUAUUGAUUCGACUUUUGUGAAACAAAUCCAAUGAAGUAUGUCUUCUGAUCCUCUUGUUCACAAUAUCAAGAAUCCUUCUUUUAAAUCCCAAGAUACUUCUAAGUUUGAAAUCAAAAACAACCUACUUUAUUUUAAAGGUCAAUUAUAUGUUUCAAAAGGAAAAGCCUGCUUACGUAUUCUUUAAGCACGUUAUAACUUUUGCGCAACAAGAUAUUUUUGAUAUAAUAAGACUUUAGAGCUUAUAUCUAGAGAUUUAUGGUAGCUUCAAAUGUAGAAAGAUAUAAAAAACUUUGUUCAAUCAUGUGACAUUUGUUGAAGAUCAAAAACUCCUCGUCAUCAAUCUUACGGACUUCUUCAACCAUUACCUAUUCCAUAACAACCAUAGUCUUCUGUUUCUAUGGAUUUUAUUAAGGAUCUUCUAAUCUCAAGUUCUUAUGACUCUAUAAUCGUGAUAAUAGAUCAUUUUAUUAAAAUGGAACAUUUUGUACCAUGUACAAAAUCUAUCACAGAUGAAAGAAUAGCUAAAUUCUUUCUUGACAACAUCUAUCGCUAUCAUAGAUUACCCAAGGAUAUUAUAUCUGAUAGAGGAACUCAAUUUGUAUCAAGAUUUUAGUGAACUCUUUUUAAGAUUCUAAAAGUAGAUAUAAAACUAUUUUUGGUAUUCCAUUCUCAAAUUGAUGGAUAAAUGAAGUAUGUUAAUCAAGUUUUGGAACAAUAUUUAAGAUAUACCAUCAACUACCAACAAGAUGAUUAGAUAAUUCUUUUGCCAUUGGCAAAGUUUGCUUAUAAUAAUAUAGUACAUUUUUCUACAAAACAAACACCUUUCUUUAUCAAUUAUGGUUAUCAUCCAUGACUUGAUACUUUUGACUUUUCAAAAGUUGAUAAUCAUGUGACGAAAGAUUUGGCAAAUCAUUUGUUAGAGCUAUAUGCAACAAUGAACGUAAAAUUAAAAGAAACUCAAGAACAACAAAAGAUCAAUGUGGAUGUCUAUCGAAAGGAAAAACCAUCAUUCCACAUGUGUGACAAGGUAUGGUUACUUUGUCGUAAUAACAAGACUACUUGUCCUUCUGAUAAGUUGGACUAUUGUAGGCUUGCACCAUUUCUUAUUUUUACACAAAUCAAUGCAAUUGCAUAUCGUUUAUACCUAUUGGAGUCAAUGAAAAUCCAUCCAGUAUUCUAUAUGUCUCUUUUUGAACCAUACAAGAUAGUGGACAUACCAAGAAGAAGACAAGCUCCACCUCCUCUUAUAGAAGUGGACAAUAAUGAAGAGUUCAAAGUGGAAGAAGUCUUAGAUUCAAGGUGGCACCAAAAUAAAUUAGAAUAUCUUAUCUAUUGGUGCGGAUAUGAUAUUAGUGAAUGCACAUGGGAGCUAAUAAAGAAUCUUAUAAAUGCAACAAAGGUAGUGGAGGCUUUUUAUUGACGACAUCUACAUGAAAACCUUUUAUAUAAAAGAAACAAGAUCUAGAUAAGAUAAUAUUUUACUUUCAAUCCUUGUUUAUAGCUUGUUUGUAGUUGUGACGUUAAAGAGAUGGAGAAUCAAUAAUCAACGGAUUUGACUGAAGAGCCUUUAUUUACUGAUGUGUCAGACGAGACAUUGCAAUUGUCACAACCUUCAAGAUGAUGCAAUUGAGAUGAAGAUCUUCAAGAACAACAUAUUUUUUUUUGAAUAAAUGGUGAGAUACAACACGUUUGGUAUGACGAACUUAGAAGAAACUCCUGAUGUUUGGUAAUUUUAUUAGAGAUAGGAACAACUUCUGACGGUGUUCCAAAUAUUUUAUGUGAAGAAAGUUAUGAAAGCCUCAACAAUGAUUAAAUACCAGGGUGGUAUUUUCGCCCUGAUCUGGGAUACUAUCGAUGAUUGAGAGGCCUUAUCAACCAUCUUCGAAGAGAGAAAGAUCUAAGUAUGUGGCAAAUACAAUUUGUCACAUCAUUGAUUUUCUCUACAUAUGAUGACCGCUCCUCGUGGAACUCAUCCCUAGAAGGAGGGAUAAUGUCCUGGACAAACACGAGUAAGUUAAUAAUCACAUGUAUAAAUAGGUAGAAGUAAAUAAAAGUAAAUAAAAGUAAAUUAAUUCUACAAUAUCUUCUAUAGAAGCUUUCUAGAAGUUCUAUAGAUGCUGCUUUGACUUUAUAGGUGUCUAUAAUCGACUUUUUGGAUUAGAAAAGUGAUCAACAAGUUGAUCAUGUGCCGCACAUGUUGUUAGCUUGAAGACCAAGCUAAUCAUAUGGCCCUUAUGUAGAAAAACUUGCCUUGUAAGUUAAGGCAUGUGACUUACAAAGUCAACACAUAUUAGAGGUCUUAUUGAACAUUCUCACAUAGCUCCUAGUUAGAUAGUAUAUAUAGAGACAAGAGUGAAGCCUUCUUCACUCUUAUCAACUCUUUUCUUGCUUCUAGCCUAGUUUUAAGAAUCUCAAGUUUCCUUGUCUUGGACAAUAAGCCAUUCCAAUUUCUUUUUAAUAUACAUACUUCUUUAUUUCUAUUUUGUUAUUCUUUCUUUGAUACAAAUUUUAUUGGUUUAUGCAUCAUCUUUUAGUUCAUGUCCUUGACACUUGAUUUGAUUGAAUCAUUUAUAUGUUAAAAAAAGCUGAAGUAGUCAAUACAUAUUUACAAAGUUGAUGUUAGUUACUUUUGGAAUAAAAAAAUAUCAACAAUCAAAAUAUGUCUAUUAUGCCUUUGGCACAACAAUAACCAUUGUAACUUCAAAAGACAAAGAUAUGACUUCUAUCCACCCUUGUUAUAUUGAUUUGUAUUUUUUUUACAUUUACCUAAAAAAUAAAAUUGUUGGAUUCAAUGCUAUUUCAAAUUUUAUUUAAAUCAAAUUAUUAGAAUAAUAUCUCAAAUUCAAAUUAUAUGUAGAUUAAUAUUUGUAUAUAGCCACUAUAAACUUGAUUGUAUCUAUGAUAUAUUUGUAGAUUGUUGCAAAAGUAAAAUAACUCAAAUAUGCUAAAUGCAAAUAUUAUGUUUGCAACCUUUGCAAUUUUUGUAAAGAUAGAUAUUUUGUUAUUGCUUCAAUAAUUUCAAACUAUAUUUUGGACAAAAUUGUCUCAAAUGAUUUGUUGCUUUGCACAACUUGCCUUUUAGAUGAUGAAUUAUUGGAUUUUCAAUCUCACUAUUAUAAAUGCAAGCUGCAAUAGUUGAAUACAAAUCUUUAACUAUCAAAAUGUGAUUGUAGCAUACAUUGAAUUCAAUGUUUAUAUGAUAGUUCCAAUAUAUUUGUCAACAUACAUGUGUAGGAGGAGUUUUUAACAUCCAACAGAACUUUUACAUAUUUGAAUUACUCAAAGAAAAGAUUUAGAGGAUAUAUAGACACAUUUUAUAACAUUUGUGAAAAAACCAAUAUUAUGUUAAUAAUAUUCAUUGGUUUGUUUCAAGUUCGUUUGUGCUCUUUUGUAUCUAAAGAAAAUUUGAUCCUUCAAAAAUCACAAGUUUUACACUUAAGAAGAUAAUAGUUAAUUCUUAAUACAAGGUAUUUUUCAAAAGCUACUAAUAAUCAAUACAACCAAAUUUAGAAAGUUUCUAUGACAUAUUUUCAAAAACUAACUAGAGAAUUGACUUGAUUCUUUAUUUCAUGCAAUGUUAACAGAUAUUAGUUGUAAUAGUUUAUCCCUCUUAUUUUUUCACAUGAGACUUGAGAAGCACGGCCUAGAGAAGGCUUUUUAUUAAACUUUGGACGUCAUAGAAGCACAGAGCAGAAAAGCAAACCGUUUGGGCCACGUGGGAGAGAGAGUUAGUGUCACGUACUCGAAUGGCAUGAAGAACGUGUGCUUUGAAAUGCCGAUGAAGAUUAUCCAUCAUCCUCCAGCAUGUGCCUUGCCUGGUAUUCUUUUAAAUAAGUCAUCCAUCCCCAGGGACCAGAAGGGAUAACUUUGGAGAAAGGUGAAGAAGAAGAAGAGGAUGGAGCCACACGAAGCUGGCGAUGGUGGGGGACGGGGAAGGGGGACGGGCACGGCAGAGGUCCGUCGGGCACCGAUUUAGGGCUGGACCAGGAACCAGAAUAGUGGUGCACCAGGUAUCGGAGGAGGAGGAGCGAAGGGUGGAACGGGAACAGCAAUGACGACGACGACGACGCGAUUAGGGUUUGGAGGGAGGGGGACAUGCCAGCCCUGACCUCAACAGCGCCUUCCCACCCACGCCCCUCGGCCAUGGACACUUUGUAUUGCACCAGCUCGCGCUUCCUGAUCUAUCGUCUCUGCCCUCUUCUGCCUCUCAGCUCUCUGCCCCCUUUGUCACUUCCUCGCCGCGCCCUUCCUUCCUUCCCUCACCUUUCUUCUUCUUCUUCUUAUUCCUCCUCACCUCCUCUCACUCCUCGUCAACGCGCUCGCUUUGCCUCCCUCUCGCGUAAGCCCAUGGCUGCCGUGGAGGGAGCCGCCCCUGCUCUUGCCCCUGGUGCUGCUCCUGGGCUGGACUUGGAGGAUGUCGGAAUUGGCAGCGUGCGACAGCAGGUCGUGAAUCUAGUGAGAGAAGCGUUGGCUACCACUGUGCCAGAUGUGGAAGACAUUGAGCCGCAAGUGGCGGUUUGUGGUAAUCCCAAGAAUGGAGACUAUCAGUGGUGAGUAGUGAGUGGCAUGAGAGUGAAACCUGUAAAGAGAGGGCUUUCGGAAUCGGCGAUUGUGAAUUUGGAGGGGGAGGGUGGGUUUAGGAGGGGUUUUAGGCACAGAUUAAAAGAGUGUAUCUCGUCUUUGAGGACGUGGUGCAUCUUGCAUUUUUGCGAAAUAAAUUGAUGGAAAGUGACUGGGUUACUGGUUCAGUAGGAAGUACUUAUUUUGAAGUGUUAUUCCCGAAAAGAAAUUUGUUUCGAAAUUCGGUCGCGGGAACCAGUUUACAAUAAACAUUAUCGUAGUGCAUUGCGUUGCGUUGGGUGGUGUAGAACGUGUCCUUAAGUCAGUUUGAUGACCUUAUGGAUGCAGUAACAACGCAAUGGGGAUCUGGUCGAAGAUUAAGGGGAAGAAUACUUCUUUCAAAAACCCUAACGCCAUUGGACAGGCAUGUUUUUAAACCCUUCGCACUUAAAAUUUUAAGUGGCUUGAUAUAAGAGCCUUAACAUUUUGUGUGAUGUGCUUCCGACCUCGGUGAAUUGUGCAAAUUGAUGAGAGAACAGACUUUGUCGCAUUUAUGCAGGCUUUGGCAGGGAGUUUGCCUCGCUCAUCAUUGACAGAUAGUGUGUCUGUUGCUGGGCCUGGCUUUGUUAAUAUCAAGCUGUCGGACAGGUGGAUUGAGAAGGUUAGUGGUUAGAAAUGCUGUUCCAUGAGAUAUUGUCCAGCAUACUAAUCGUAUGUAUUAGAAUGUAAUUAGUAGUAAAUAAAAUGCAUCAUAUGCUGGUUUAUAAAAAAGACACUUGUAAUGUUUCGCAGGAAUGUCUUUUCAAUAUUUGGCUCGUUGUUUACAUGUUCAAAUUAGUUGUCACGAUAUUUGUUUACUCACAUCAUUUGCUUUGAAGUCUUCAACCAGAAACACAGAAAUUCUUCUUAUCUGACUUGAGUGUAUGGAUAAUUAUCAACCUCUGCUUGAAUUCUACACAUCUUGAAAUUUUCAGAAACUUCAUCAAUUAUUGUCACAUGGAGUUGGAGAAUGGGCGCCUGCGCUGUCCUACAAGCGAGUAGUGGUUGACUUUUCAUCUCCGAAUAUCGCAAAGGAGAUGCAUGUCGGUCAUUUGAGGUCUACAAUCAUAGGCGACAGCCUUUGUCGGAUGUUGGAGUACUGUGGCGUGGAAGUAUUGCGAAGGAAUCACGUCGGUGAUUGGGGAACUCAGGUUGGGCGAUUAAGGUUCAAAAUCCCCUUUGACAUGUAUUAUGACUAUCAUACUGAUUUGAAUCUUUAAUCUUGUCAGAAUGGUUAUGUGAAUUUGCAACACAUCAAUUGUUGAGCUAGUCAUGGGAAAUCAGGAUCUUUUGAGCCCGAAAGGAAAUAGGAAUGUUUCUGGGAAGAAAGUUCGAUGAUAAUUUUGGGUUGGCGAUCCUGAAUAUUAUUUUGGGUUUGCCAGUUUGGAAUGUUGAUCGAGUACCUGUUUGAGGAGUUUCCUAAUUGGGAGGAGAUUGGUGAUCAAGCAGUUGGAGACUUGCAGGUGAACUCUUUUUCUGUUCCUCCGAGAAGAGUGAAUGUUCAUGUGGUCUCUGCGUGCUCUUUGCGGUUGCACUUUCUCAUGCUGACUUCAUUAGUGCAACAUUCACGAUUUUAAUCACUUCGAUUCGCCCUCUAAUUCUAGGAUGGUGUGAAACAUGGUCACAUUGUCCUUGAAUUAUGCUUAUAACCUGUUUGUAAAUCGUGCUCUUAAGAUAAAAUAGGACAAGCAUGCUGUGUAUUCAACCUCCUAGUCUUGAUGAUAAAGAUUUUGUGCAGGAUUUUUACAAGAAAGCAAAAAUCAAGUUCGAUGUUGAUGCUGCUUUUAAAGAAAAAGCUCAGAAAGCCGUCGUGCUUCUUCAGGUGCCGAAACACCUCUUGGUUUAAUGAUUUUAGUCGAUUUUGGUGGGACUGUAGCUUGUUUUCCUAGAGUUCUAUGUCUACAGAUGAAUUAGAUGAAGCUGCAAAGCACCUACUGAACGAAUUCAAUAGAGGACAUAGUUGCGCUGACUAUGAAUUGGUUUGUCAGGGAGGUAAUCCACAAUACCGAGCAGCGUGGGCAAAGAUAUGUGAUGUGAGCCGAAAGAGUUUUGAUCAAGUCUAUAAACGACUGAAAGUUACCCUGGAAGAGAAGGUGACGUAUUCGUCUUUGAUCUUCAGUGCCUCUUCAUGCUUCGUUUUUUUAAACCAGUUGUACUCCAAGUCAUAUUGCAGUUCUUAAGGAAGGUCGUGAAUUUCAUGGUGAGUGUCCACUGAAUACGUUUUUCUUUUUUGGGUUGGACUUUCCGUUUGCAGGGUGAGAGUGCAUACAACGAGUACAUUCCAGGUGUGGUUGAGGAGCUGAAAGGAAAAGGGCUUGUAGAGGACAGUGAGGGUGCUAAAGUCAUCAAAGUUUCUGGCCAAACCAUUCCUCUUAUAUUGGUGAAGAGUGAUGGCGGUUUCAAUUAUGCCUCUACAGAUAUGACUGCUAUGUGGUAUGUCCAAGAGGUUCCCUGAUAGUUGCUUGUUCUGUAUGCUCCUGGGAUUCUUUAGUGUAUGAUCUGUUUCAAAGCGUGUCUCCCGUCUUCCUUAUACAUUUUCUCUUUCUUUUGCGACUCUAUCUCCCCAUCAUGGUGUAUGACUUGAUUAACUACAUGUGCAGGUACCGUUUGAAUGAAGAAAAGGCUGAAGUGAUGGUAUAUGUUACAGAUGUGGGUCAGUCCCAGCAUUUUGAUAUGGUCUUUAAGGUAACUGCCGAUAAUCACUACCUUCAUUGAUAUGUUGGUUUGAACAUUUCCUUUGUUGAUUAAUGACAUGACUCUUUAUCUUGAAGGUUUGAAGAGGAGCGUAUUAAUCACAUCUUGCUAAUCAGGCAUUCACUUUGCGCUCUUCUUUCAGGCAGCUAAACGUGCAGGGUGGUUGCCAGAAGAUGAAUCCCAACUUCCACGAGCCAGGCACGUUGGGUUUGGUCUAGUGCUUGGUGCCGAUGGGAAGCGAUUCCGAACUAGAAGUACUGAGGUUGUUCGCCUUGUGGAUCUUCUUGACGAAGCCAAGGAUCGUAGCAAGCAGGGGCUCGUCGAGAGAGGUAAUUUCAGUUUUGCGUUGCUUACUAUGCUCACGUCGGUUGUUCACAGUUUUUUUUUUUUUUUUUUUUUUUUUUUUUUUUAUGCAUUUGGAAGGUGCCCAUAUUUCGAGUAGAAGACCUAGGUAAAAAUAACUCACGUUAAUCUGUUGAUGUGAUUUGACAGCAUUUGAAGAAUGGCUUGUAACUAUGUGGUUUUUUCCUUUCAGGACGUGAAGGCGAGUGGUCUGCCGAGGAGCUAGAGGAAGCUGCAGAGGCUCUGGGCUAUGGCGCCAUUAAGUAAAUCUUCUCUCCAAAUAGUUGUUUCCUAAGUAACAUGAUUCUGUCUUGAUGUCAUUCUGAUAUGUUAAUCUUCUAGACCUGACAUUACUUGUGGAUCUAUGUAGAUAUGCGGAUUUGAAGAAUAACAGGUUGACAAAUUAUACCUUCAAUUUCGACCAAAUGUUGGACAUUCGGGUGAGCAUUUUUGAUAUGUCUUUGCGAUUGAGCUCUUUUGUGUAAGGGUUUAUCGUGAUUCAAGAUGUAUUUGUACUAGUAUUUGCUUUGUGAUUUUGUGACAGUUACUGAGUUUGUUUUUACAACCGCUACAUUUUCACUUCGAAUUGUUCUGAGAUUAGAAUAAUGAUGAGGCUUUCCUGGCAUGUUGUCUACAUCAGCACUGAAAUAGUCCUUAUGAACUCUCGAAAACUGAUGGAUAUUGAUUCAGAUCGUAACUGGAUUGACAAUUUCAGGGCAACACAGCAGUCUAUUUGUUGUAUGCUCAUGCCCGAAUCUGCUCCAUAAUUCGAAAAUCUGAAAAGAAUGUCGAGGAGCUCAAGAAGGUAAGUCAUUUGGCUGCCAUAAUAGAAUAAUUAUAUGUGUAUGCUUUGAAAGGUUAAACUGUUGAACCGCUUUAAGGGCUCAGUAGCUGCAAUGAUUAUUGGAAUUCUCCUUGUUUGUAUUUCCAGUCGACAUGCAAACUGUCGAAGUCAAUGGCUCAUUUGCAUAUUAUCUUCGUUACCCGUAUGGCUGUCAUCGACCACAGGCUAGUUAGUCUGUAAAUUGGGUUGGCAUUCUUGGGUUGGGUGAUUUGUUGAAAAAUAAUUUCACAGGGUGAUUUAACUUACCCAUGGUAAUACCUUGAUAUGAAGUCAGAUCUCCAGAUUUUUCAAAUUUGUUCAUUAUCCGAAAAUUCAAUUCAAUUCAAUUUAAUUCGAGGUUUGUAGGAUUUUGGUUUAAGGGUCGGAGUCCUCUUUAUGUUGCUUACGCAGACUGGACAGAUGAAGCUACAACAUCCAAGUGAGAGAGCAUUGGGUUUGCAGUUGAUUCGUUUUGGCGAGGUACAGUACUUCCCCUCUUUUCCCAUCCUUUCCCGCCGAGUUCUUGUGCUCUAAAACUCGUGUUUUGAAUAGUCGAGAGGAAUCGUGGAAGUUAAGAGUGUAGUAUAGCAUUUGCGACCAGAGUUCAAGCAAGUCUGAAACUCCUGCGUUAUUACUCUUGUGAGAUCAAUAUCGACCAUUUAGUAUUUGAUUAUUGUUUAGAGUUCCAAUUCAGCAUGAUUCGACUAUGCGAGUUGCACUCCGCACUUCGAGCUUAAUCGAGAUAUAGCAUCUUACACUGCUUUAUGUUUUCAUGUUUUUAGUUUGUGGAAGAUGCUGCUUCGGACCUUCUUCCAAACGUUCUGUGCGAGUAUCUCUACACUCUUUCGGGAAUGUUCACAGAUUUUUACACCAACUGCAAAGUAAGCUACUACUUGGGACUCUCGUUGUAUAUGUCGAUUUUUACGCAAAAUUAAUUUUGCAACGUCAAAGAAUUUUUUUGUGCCACGCUAAGUGUUCAGUUUAUUUUCAGGAAUUAGAGAGAUUUCCUCAUUUUAUUUGAAUUAUACUGGGUUGAAAUGUCCUUGAUCUUUGGAUUCUGGUGUCUUUUUUGUAGGUUGUCGGCUCUGAAGAGGAAACUAGUCGACUGUUGCUAUGCGAAGCUACUGCAGUCAUAAUGCGGGAAUGUUUCAAGCUUCUUGGUAUCGAGCCUCUAUACAGAUUAUAAUCGUAUUAGUUCAGGAUCAGCUAGAUCUAUGUGGAAUAUCCAUUAGGUUCGGAAUUGCUUGGUAUUUAACAUGCGCCUUAUUUAUAGGUUUGCCUUGCGGCAGCAACAUCACGGAGCUACCGAAAUUUAACUUUUUAUGGACAUGUUGAAGCUGACACUAUUCAUUGAUGUUCACAUAAUACAUCCAUUAUAUGUCAGUCGAUUUUCUGGGUGAAUCCGGUUGCAAGUCUAGUGUACUGUAGUUCUGUGGAACCUAAAUUCUUCGCUGCCGUGACUCUACUCACGUAAGGUUUCGAAGUUUGUUCGACUUCAAAAUGUUCUGUAGCCUGACUUUCAUAUAUGUGCGAUAACACGUGGUCAUGAAAUACAAUGGAUCUUUGGUUUAUGUUGUCACAGUGUAUGGGAGUGAGUGGCACAUGUAAACCAAUUGAUUUUGACUGUUUGCAUAGAAAAUAUGAAGGAUUCUUGAAUUUUGUAUUUUUGAACUCUUUAUAUCAGACCAUUUGAGACAUAAGGUUUAUGACCCAUUUCUAAGUCCCAACAUAAGACAAUUUGGCUAAAAAAUGGAAUUUAAAUAGAUGUUUUAGUUAAAGAUUCUCUUCAGUCCAUUUCUAACAUGUACACCAAUCUAAUUUUGAUCACAUGCCAACUUAAUUCUUAUUAAUGGUGGGUUACAAAAUUACGAAUCCAACUUUGGCAAAACCAAGAAGUGUUAUUUCUAAUCAAUAUGGAUGUCAUACCUAGUCAUUGAAUUAAUAGAAUUAGCUAGGUCUACAUGUUGGAAAUGGAGGGGUGGUCGACAAUGGGUCUGCUACCUUAUUUGGUGGCUACCAUUUCAUUAACAAGACAAUUUCCGUACAAAAGAUCAUAAAAUAGAGAUUUUCUUUUGUAAAUGGCUUAAGCCAUUGGAAACUCAUUAGCUUAAAAAUCUAGGUUCAAAUAACUUAUUUGUGUAAUAAUAUAGCUACAGGCACAAUAGUAGUUAUUGAUGUAGAUGUGCUGUAUCAUCUACCAACAAUAUAUGUGUAAUACCUUUAAGAGGACCACUGUGCUUUCAAAAUAACAAAAGUAGACUCAUGAAUGACAAUUUUGUUCAAUAAUAAUUAUUGCACCUAUGCAAAAUUUAAUCCUUUUCUAAUUACUAAAAUUAUUUAUUUUUAAAUUAGAAAAAUAAUCAUGUAUAUAUAUAUAUAUAUAUAUAUAUAUGCAUAUAUAGAAUAUAAAUUACAUUCUUUUUCGAUGAAUUGCACAAUAAAAUACCUAUAUUAUUUGUAAAAUCAAUAACAUCAACAUUAAAAUAUGAAAAAAGUAAUUAAUUGAAUUAUGUUAGUAUGUAAAAGUUUGUAUGCAUAUAAAAAUGAAUAAUAAUAUUUAUAAAAGUGAAAAAAAGAUAAAAAUAAUAAUAAAAGUAACAAAAUAAAGAAAUAAAAUAAAACAUAAAAUAAGUAAAAUUUAAUUUGAAAAUAAAUAAAAGAAAAAAUUAAAAAACUAAAAAAUACAAAUCACAAUAUAAAAUAUAAAUUAUAGUUGAUUUAAUGUAAAAUUGUGAAAAUAAAAGUAAUAAGGUAAAUUAACGUAGAAUUUAUUAAUCAUGGAUGUGCUUUGCUUGAGGCUAGCAACCCCAUUAUUGUGUCAUAUGAAAUCUAACUUAGAAAUGAACUAGACAUUUAGUUGUGGGCAAAGUUUGAUCUUACAUUGAGCUUUGAUUUACAAUCCAAAACAAUGCAUAAGGUAUUUAGAAACAUCUUUGGGCAAUCCUAAAUAAGCUAAGUAAGCUUCUAAGUAUCUUAAGUACAUCCUAUCAACCUUAGAAAAAUCUAAGAUAUAUCUUAUUAUAUUCUAAUUAAUUUCAUAAAAACCCUAAAAAAUCUUUAACACACUUUAAUUAAAUCCUAUUCAUACUUUAGUCCAAAAUUAAGAUUUUUAUAACUUGUAAAUUCUUUGAAAUUCUAAUUAUUUUAAGACACUUAUUCAUUAUCUAUGUAAUAUUCAGGAUUAAUACCAAAAUUUUUAAUUAACACUUAUGCAAUUUGGAAAUAUUUGAAUUAAUUUUUAAGUAGAAUUAUCUACAAGAGAUAUAUAUAUUCUUCUUUUAUAAUUUUUUUUCUUGUUAUUUUUUGUAUAAAAUCGCACAAUUUCAAUUUUUUUGCUUAUUAUUAUUUUUUGUUUGUAUUGAAAUGUUGGUCAUAUUAUUCAACAUCUUCUACUUGUAAAUGUGUUGCUGUCUAUUUGUUUAUCCUUUGGACACAACAUAAUUCAAAGUUUAUGUUAAUUAUUUAUACUUACAACUUUACUUUACUUCUAAUGAAAUAUAGAUAAAGAAUAUUAAUCUGUUCAUAAAAAGAAUUAAAAAUUUCUAAAAUUAUAAGUUUUUCAAAUAGAUAAAAGAAGCUAAAUCAAAUUGUAUUCUUUCUUCACUUUUUUAUGAAAUAAAAUGAACUAUAAAAUGUUAAAAAUUAUAAAAAUCACAAAAAGUAUUUAUUCAUUGAAAUUGAUUCAUACAAAAAUAAUAACAAAAAUUUCACUACAAUAAAAAAUUGUUUGAUUUUGAAGUUAAUGUUUCUUUUUAGUGUUGAAUACAUAUAUCAUUCAAUUUUUACUAUUUAAUCAUAUUCCACGUAAAUCAUAACCUUGGUGUGUAUGGAAAUUUUAUAAAUUACUCGAGAUUAUAAAUCAAGCGGGGUAGACCACAAGUAGUCGACAGGUGAUUGAAUUCAGUCAAUUGUUCUUUUUCAGUUUAUUCAAAUGGACACACAAAAUAUUCCCAUUUAACGUCAAACUAAGCACGACUGCAAUGACAUCAAUAGUUACUCCUUCAGAGUUUACAUGCGAGAUGGGAACUCAACUCUGGCCAAUUUAAACUGGUCUUGGAAGAGCAGACCAUAUUGGCGCAACAGCAUUUCAGUCAGACACCGGAUUCCCCAACGGACCCCGGAACAGUUACUCCCUUAACUAGUUAGAACUCAGAUAAACUCCGCACCUCCAAAACCUCGCUAUUGAAAGCUUUCCGAAUCACGAAAUUACAAACGCUACUCACAACUCAAUACCAGAACAGGCGCAACCAGUAAACAAAACUCAAGUUUCCCCUACAACAACAUUCAGUCACCAGUCCAAUCAUAUAAAAAUCAAAUAAAUGAACAAUAUGAAAAAUUUAAUUUCUCACUUCAAUUAUAGACUUCACCCUUUUUUUUAUUAAUUAUGUAACAAACAACGUUUUAAGAUUACAACCUAAAAUUGUCCUCUAUUCCAGCAAAUAUUAUCAGCUAAGCAAGAAAUAUUAAUUAUUGGAUAUUAAUUAAGCACAGUACCACUGUAUAUUUUAAGUAUAAUACCAUUUGAUUGAUUUCAAAAAUUAAUUGUCCAAAUUUUAACAUACCAGACAAUAAGGAAGUUUGGUGUUCCAAAAUUAGAUUUCGCAACCUGUCAACCACAUCGUACUGUACUAAUCUAUUGCCCUCAUAUUGUCAAUUCUCUCAUUGUAGAUCCCAGGAGCCAGUACUACCCACAAUCCAACCAAUAGAGUGUAGGUAAAUCGGGUUCAAACUGAACUAUCAAGCGAUGGUACUGAAAUCUUCAUUUUAUAAUGUGAAAUUGUUGUAAAUAGACAUUUCUCACUUCCCGUAAUUUUUAACAUUAAGUCUACAUUGUUUUCAACAGAACGGUCGAUGUAUGAAAACAAUACAGCAUACUAACGUUGAUGUGCGAAAGAAAUCAGUGUACGACACGAUCUGCAGAUUGUUACUAAAUUAGCAACCAGAAUACAGUUCCACAGUUAGCACGCUGGGGGCAUUAUUCAAUCCGUAGAAUUCAUAUCUGUCAAUUGUAAACAGACUGAAAAGAUUACAAAAUUCUUGGUUUUUCCAUUGAUUGUACAAAUCUUAGGUAGAACCACAUGUUUCAAUUGUAAUGAAAUGAGUAAAUUUUUUAUAAGAUAUUUCUGCAAGUAUGUCUCAUUUGUAAACUAAGAAUAUGUCCACACAUCACAGCCCAUAGAUUGAUCACAGAAAGGACGACCAACAAUCAGUCUGAUGGUUACAGCUUGCUGCUCUCGUGACAUAUGACUGGCAGCUUGUUAUGGUUGUUAGUUAAAGAAACUAUAAGAAUAUUUACCCUAUAAUAUUCAGGACAAAAUAAUCCUGACGAAAAAUGAUCUCGUAGGUCAUCACCUCUCAAAAAUGGGACAGACCCUCAAAUAGCUGUAAAGAACUGGGUGCUUGACGCCUGUAAUCUCCUGUGUCCAAGGACCGCAUCGGAACGCUUGGUGUCGAUUUAGUCGACCUCCUCGAUCUUGGGGCCAGCACCGGAUGGAGGAGAAUCACUUCCUCCGUACGGUGGUACAGGCCGCUCACCUCCUGCACCUCCUUGGUACAUCCUCGCAAUAAUGGGGUUGCAAAUCCCCUCCAAUUCCUUCAACUUAUCGUCGAACUCGUCGCUCUCCGCUAAUUGGUUCUGGUCCAACCAAUGAAUAGCAGCAUCGACAGCGUCCUCAAUUUUCUUCUUGUCGGCAGCGUCCAAGUUAUUUGCAAUCUUUUCGUCCUUGAUGGUGUUCCUCAUGUUAUAAGCAUAGUUUUCAAGCCCAUUCUUCGAAUCAAUCUUUUUCUUAUGAUCCUCAUCCUCGGAUUUGUACUUCUCAGCCUCCUGCACCAUCUUUUCGAUCUCGUCCUUGGACAGGCGGCCCUUGUCGUUAGUGAUUGUUAUCUUAUUUUUCUGUCCAGUGGUCUUGUCUUCAGCAGAUACGUUCAAGAUACCGUUGGCGUCGAUGUCGAAACACACAGUAAUCUGCGGUACACCGCGAGGGGCAGGGGGAAUGCCAGAGAGCUCGAACUUUCCGAGCAAGUUGUUGUCCCUGGUCCUGGCUCUCUCACCCUCGUACACCUGGAUCAACACUCCCGGUUGGUUGUCCGAAUAUGUUGAAAAUACCUGUUCCUUCUUGGUGGGGAUGGUUGUGUUUCUUGCAAUUAGCACUGUCAUUACUCCUCCUGCGGUCUCAAGUCCUAAAGACAAGGGAGUAACAUCCAAUAGCAGAAGGUCCUGCACCUUCUCAUUACCUUCUCCGGACAAGAUGGCAGCCUGGACAGCGGCACCGUAAGCAACAGCCUCAUCAGGAUUGAUGGACUUGCACAGCUCCUUGCCGUUGAAGAAAUCCUGGAGCAACUGCUGCACCUUAGGAAUGCGAGUGGAUCCACCGACCAACACGACAUCGUGGAUGGAUGACUUGUCCAUCUUAGCGUCCCUUAGACACUUCUCCACUGGCUCCAUACACUUCCUAAACAUAUCCAUGUUUAACUCCUCGAAUCUAGCACGAGUUAUGGUAGAGUAAAAGUCAACACCCUCGUACAACGAAUCGAUUUCAAUUGUGGUUUGUGCAGUCGAUGAGAGGGUCCUCUUCGCCCUCUCGGCAGCAGUCCUCAGCCUUCUCAGCGCACGAGGAUUGCUACCAAUGUCCUUCUUGUACUUGCGCUUAAACUCCUGCACGAAGUGGUUCACCAUUCUGUUGUCGAAAUCCUCUCCUCCUAAGUGAGUAUCUCCAGCGGUGGCCUUCACCUCGAAGAUACCCUCCUCAAUGGUCAACAAAGAUACAUCAAAGGUACCUCCCCCUAAGUCGAAAAUCAACACGUUCUUCUCGCCCACAGAAGUCGCCUUCUUGUCCAAGCCAUACGCGAUAGCAGCAGCAGUUGGCUCGUUUAUAAUACGCAGCACAUUCAAACCAGCGAUGACUCCUGCAUCCUUUGUCGCCUGCCUCUGAGAAUCAUUGAAGUAAGCUGGAACAGUCACCACAGCGUUCUUUACCGUGGACCCGAGAUAUGCCUCAGCAAUCUCCUUCAUUUUGAUAAGCACCAUGGAAGAUAUCUCCUCGGCGGCGAAAGUCUUCUCCUCACCCUUGUAUUGCACACUGAUCAUGGGCUUCUCUCCCGGCCCGGGGGUGAUCUUGAAUGGCCACAACUUCAUAUCACUCUGGACAGAAGCGUCACUAAAACGCCUUCCAAUUAACCUCUUAGCAUCUACAUUGUCCAUACAUACACGUCGAUCAGCAAAUUAUCAAAACAGAGGCACCUAGAACCGUAUCAUCAAACGCACGUCACAUCACGUCCGCGUCCUACCAGAACCAUAUCAUGAAACGGACGUGACAUCAUGUCCGCGUCCUACCACAAACUAGGUCUUCGAACACAAGAGAUACGAAAAACAACAGAGUAACAACCGAAUGCUGCAUAGAACCUGUCAAGGAUAGAAACGAAAGCUACGACAAAGAAAUGGGAAAAACUCACCGAAUACAGUGUUGAUGGGGUUCAUGGCCACCUGAUUCUUAGCAGCAUCACCGAUGAGACGCUCAGAGUCAGUGAAAGCCACAUAGCUCGGGGUGGUUCUGUUACCCUGGUCGUUGGCAAUGAUCUCGACACGAUCAUGUUGCCACACUCCGACGCAACUGUAAGUAGUACCAAGGUCGAUGCCGAUGGCAGGACCCUCGCCCUUACCAGCCAUAGCGGAAAGCACGAGCCGUAAAACCUGUCAGCAACGGCAGCUCUUACAGCGAACACGAACUCGGAAGCAGGGUGAACAACGCCGUCACGAGAAAGAAUGGAAUGGGAUGGGGGGGAGGAGGAGGAAGAUGAAGAGCUGGUGAACCACAGAGACUAUGUAAAAACGGCUUCAGAAGGUCCCCGAAGCCUCCAGAAGCUCUAAGAAGUGCAGGCCGGUACACUGGCCUCCCGUCCCCCUCCGCCCGGACUCCCGCCCGCCAUUUUUUGCUUUUUCCCGCGGUCACUUCUUAUACAUGGAAGAUAUUUGGGCGAGCAGUCGCCACACCCAGACUCCGAUGGAAAGGUGAUGUCCGACCAGUGCACUGUAACGAAAUUUCCUGCUGCUGACCUUUUUGGGCAUUGACUCGUAGUUCGAACACUCUCGUUCCCUCAUCGCCGUUCUUCGCUCUCCUGGUGUGUGUACACGUAUACCCAUCUACCGCAUUUUUCUACCGCCACUUGUGUCGCCUAGCAAACGGAAACGCCUUUACAAUAUUUGUAAAUAAAAAAAAUAUAUAUAUAUAUAUAUAUAUAUUUAUUUAGAAGUUUACUUGGAGAAGACACCAUUGUUCAUGUUGUGUAGGAAAAAAAUACAUUUUAUUUCAUCUUCUCUUCUUAAGGUCUUUAGAAUUAUUUUUUGUACUUCUAUUAUAUCAUGUAUUAUUAGCUUACUGUGUAACAUUCUUGAGUUCUAACUUAUAAACAUAUUGAAACUAGAUUCAAUUAUGUUUCUUGUGAUGAAAAAUUUGUCCCACCAUUUCAAAAAGAUAAAUUUGUAGUUAGGUUGUUUUUUGUCUUUUGAUAUAAGAUAUUUUAUCAAGUUUUUUUUGUAUUCGAUAAAACCUAUCUAUAUUAAUUUUAUAUCAUGUAGAUUAAUCUAUGCUUUGAUCUCAUUUAUUAGUUUGUUUUUUAAUUUAAAGUUGGAUUUGUAUUAUUUAUAUCCAUGAUUUUUUUAAUAAAGACCAAAUAUCAUAGAAAUUUUUGAAUCUAAAAAGAUAAUGCUUAUGCAAAGAAAUUUUUGAUUAAAAAAACUUUCUUUGAAUCCUAUUUCUAAGACUAGAUGAAAAUUUAUACAAAAAUAAAAUUACCUAAUUUUAAAUAUAUUGAAAUCUUUUAUAUUUCUAAAAUCUAUAUAUAAUAUAUUUUAUAUUAUACAAAAAAUCUAUAUAUAAUAUUUUCUUAAUAUAUUGGUAAAUAUAAAAUUAUUUUUUAUAUUAAUAAUUGGACUACCUUGUCUUUUUUAUAUAUUUAUGGCUACAUCUUGACAUAAAAAAAGUAAAAUUAAUAUUAACUUUUGCAAGAAUGGGGCCAAAAUUAAUCAUCUUGCUAAUUGAAAGUAAAAAUCUAAAUUUAUGAUAUAAUUUCAUUUGGCAUUAUUCAAGUCAAGUGGAGUUUAGUUCCUAUUGAUUAUAGAUCUAUCUGUUUUUUACACACAAAUGAUAACUCUAGCACUUAUAGAUCAAUAAUUUCUAUUAGAGUCACAAGUCAAUUUAUUUAUUAGUUUAAAAAGUAUCUUAAUAUUGUUUUUACCAUAAUACUUAAACAUUAUUUUUUGCAUUGCUAAAAUAAUUUUAAAAAUCCCUCUAAGUUAUUUUAGUAAAAGUAUCUUUAUUUUACUAAGAAUUAUUUAUUAUAAUAUGAUAUUAGUAAUUAAGUUCUAAUCUAAUUUUGUUUGAUGCUAAUAGAUUUAUAUAUGAUAAACCAAGAGUCUUCUACAAUAUCUUUAUGUUGGAUUAGGAGUUGAAAGACAACCAUAGAAAGAAAAUUAUUUUUAUUCUUAUCUAGACUUACUUAAACUUUGAAUUUAGAGAGUACAAUUCUGAUUCUAAUUAAUUAGAACCAUGAUUAUAGAAAGUAGAAGAUAAGUAUAGGCUACAAAUAUGAAUUUUAAAGGUAUAAUUUAUAUAUUUGAUCAACCUUAUCAAUCAAGAGUGGAUGGUGGGAUGUAUUAAAUAAUUCUUUUAUUCUAUGAAGAUCUUAAAUGAAGAGUAAAACCGCUCAAUUAGAAUCAAUAUAUCUACUUAUAAGUGAAACAUUUGGAUCCAACCAUAAAAUUUUAUUUUAAGUUCUAUACAAAAAAAAUUGCAGAUAUGUAGUCAAAUAAAUUAAAGACCAAAUAUGCCCAAACUUAUCCAAUGUUUUUUUUUUAACUUUUGGAACUUAUAUUCUAUUUUUAUUUCAUUGUAAAUGAUCAUUUAAAAUUUGGCCAGCAAACACUAUGAGUAAUAAAUUUUUCAUGUAUCAAUUCAUACUAAAGAAAUUAUUGGAUAUUAGAUAUUUUAGGUUGAAGAGCUCCAUUUGACUUUUUUGCAAAGAAAGCCUGUUUAGAAUCUUUUGGGACAAUAACUCCCUAUAUUCUUUUUGCCUUAAACAUAUAUAUCAUACUACCUAUGUAAUUUUAAUUUGAAUUAGUAAUUUUAUAUGACUCCAAAAAUACUUCUUAUUCAUUAUAUUAAUUUUAUGGAUAGCUUUUAAAAUUCCAUUUAAUAUGGCAAGAAACUAUAUAUAUAUAUAUAUAUAUAUAUAUAUAUAUAUAUUGAAAAUUAUUAUACCUCUAGUUAUACAAAAUUUUGAAGAGCACCAAGUAUAUAUUUUACAUUAGAUUUUUUUAAAUAAAAAAUAACAAACAUCCUAUUUUUUAAGAAUAAUCUUAAAGAGAUACUUGUAAGUUUAUUUAAAUUAUGUAGAGAUACAUAAGCCCACACAAAAGCUUUUUGUCUAUUAAGAUUUCUUUGUUUUAUUAUAUUGCUUAUAACUUUCAAAUUCUAACCAAUUUAUUUCUAUUCUUAUAAUGAAGAUAAAUUAUUUUGUAAUAUUAAUUAAUUUUUAUACAUUAAAUUCAUCACCUUUUACUACUAUAUUAGAAUCAUUUGUAUAUUAGCAUAUAGUUUUUUUUUAUAAGAUUUAUAAAAUAUGCCAAUGCCUUGUAAUAUUUUUGUCUUGAUUUUUUUUUCAAUUGAUACAUUUAAAAUUUAUUUAACACUAUUUUGAACUUACUAGGAAAAAUAAAGCAUCCAUGUCACACCUUUCUUGUAAUUGGAUUUUUUAAAAAUAUAUAAAUUUAAUUUUAUAAUAAUCUAAGCAUGAUUCUAUUUAUCCUAAGUACAUUCUAUCAACCUGAAAAGAAUCCUAGAUAUAUCGUAUUAUAUUCUAAUUGAUUCUAAAUAACUCCAAAAUAAUCUUUAAUAUAAUUUAAUCUAAUUUUAAUUAAAUCUUAAUAAAAUUCUAAAAGAAUUCUAAUCAAAUCCUAACCAAAUUCUAAUGAAAUCAUAAAAAUAACCUUAUCAAAUUCCAAUCCUAUGGUAGAUUCAAAAUUUUGAUAAUUAAUAAAUCUAUCUUUCAUCUUAACUCAAAAUUUGUAUACCUUUCAAUUUUUUAGUUGUUAGAAAGUGCAAUAAAUUUAAAGAAAACUCAAAUUACUAAAUGGAAGAAAAACCUCAUAAUUUACUUGGAUGUCAAUAGGCCUAAUUCUCCAAUCUUAAUGUUGAUCUUGUAGUACCAAUAUAUUUUUAUUUUUACCAUUUAAUUGCUCUCAAAAUUUUAAUUUUUGUUGGAAAUCAAAUUUGCUACUAGUAUGCAAAAUUUUAUCUCAAUCCAACUAAAAAAUUAUUGCAAAUCCUUCAAACCCUCUAACCCUCCCAACUCAAUUUUCUAAGACUUCAAUCCACUUGAAUUUCAAUAAUCUUUAGUUUGACCAUUUGAUCAAGUUCAAAAUUAUAAUAUAUAUUUAGUACAACUAUAGUUAUAAAUUUAGAAAAUUUCACUUAUAAAUCUACUACAAAUAUUUAAAAAUUAUUUGAAGUAUAAAUUGUUUUUAUUUCAUAAAUACUAAAGUCACCUCAAAAUAAUUCUAAUUUUUUAAAGCUCUUAUAAAGUCAUUAAAAACUCAAAUUAUUCAAAAUCAAUGUUCAAAAAUCUUGUUUCUUAUCUAUGCUUGAAUCAUUUUCUCAAAUCAACAAAAUAUUUUUGGAUUUUUUGUAAGGGCAUAGUUUUGUACCUUGGAAUUUGAUUUCAAUUCAAUUUCAUAACUGGUCCUAUUUGGAUAUCAAUAUCUAAUUUUUUAAAGUAAAACUUUUAGAAUUUAUUAUUUAUUUCUACCUUAAAAUAUCUAUGAUUCUAAUUUUUCUAUUCUACCUUAUUUUAUCUUAUUUAUGGCCUUACAAAGUAAAUAGAAGUCUAUUUUGCAAAAAGGUAGCAUUAACACUUAUUAGUUUUACUACCUCCUUGGCUAUUAUUUAUAUUUAUAAGUUAAUUUUCUAUUCUAUUUUUAAAUAAUAUAUUUUAUAAUAUAAACUUUUUCUUCUAUCUUUUAUCUAUUAGUUGUGUUACAACACAACAACAUAAAAGUGCAAACAUCUACUAUCAUUGUCUUUCUUUUGUACUAAAAUUGAAAACUUUGGAACAAUUUUUUAUGAAUCAAUCCAUGUUUAAUAUUUUAUUCAAAAUCCUCAAAAAUAAAAAUAAAAAGAAUUAUUAAUAUUUUAUAGUAUUUUAUUCCUACUACAAAUUAUAUAUUUUAAAUUAUAAUUAAUAUAAUUAUUUUUCAUCUUAAUAUUAUUUAUAGAGUGAUAAGUUUUAUUGAUUGGUGAUAUGCAUAAAAGUCAUAGUAAUUAUCUCAAGUAUGAGAUGAAUCAUAAUAACAUAAUAUAUAGGUGAAGAUUAAGCUUAAUUGAUUAUUUUUUCUUUUUCAAUAAAUAUUUUUAUUAAUGUACAUUAGUAAAAAAAAUUGUUUAUAUUUGUAGAAGACCUUGGUAUUUUUUAGUAAAAAAAGUAUAACAACUGUUCAAUUUUCUAGGUUAAAUUAUUAUCUUUUUAAUUGUUAUUAAUUUUUUGAAUAAUUUUCUAUCAGAUUCUAUUGUAAUUAGCUUUUAUAUUUCAAAGCUCAAGAAAUUAUUUAAAACUAGGUCAUAUAGGAUGUAUUGACUUAACUAUUGCUAAUUAUUAAUAAUUUUUGCAUACUAGUUUAGAUUUACAAACAAUUUCAUUAUUGCCUUAUAUGUAUAUAAGAUUAUAUUUUAAACUUAUGUUGGAAAAUCAAACCCCAUUUUAUUAAGACUAAAUCUACUUAAUCCUUAAAAUCCCUUUUUGUAUUGAAUUUCAUAUUUAUUUAUAAUAUAUAUAUAUAUAUAUAUAUAUAUAUAUAUAUAUAUAAUUUUUGGAACUCAAAAUUCUAAUUUCUUAUUUAAAAUAGUAUUAUAUAUAUUUUUUCUAAAUAUUUUUAUUAGAAUAAUGUUUUUAUUAAUCUUAAUUUUUUCAAUUAAAUCUAAUAAGGAGUUCUAGCUUUUAUAAGUGCAACUUCAUUUUAAAACUCUUAUAUAAAUUAAGAUAAAAUAUCAUAUCUAUCUUAAUGUUUUUCUAUUUUUUUGUUUAAUAGAUAUAUCUAAGUUAAUUUUUUAUUGAUCAUAUUUUUUUUAAUCUUUUUUAACUUGCAUAUUAAUAAUAUAUAUGUCAUUAAAAAUAAUGUUGUCAUUUGUUAUUUUGGAAUUAUUUAUAAUAAUUUCAUUUAAAUUCUUUAAUUAUUUUUUUCCUCUUUUAGAUAAUAAAUACUAUGUAUAUCUAUUAUUUUGUCUUUUUUAUAUUAUUAUUAUUAUUAUUAUUAUUAUUAUUUUACUAUAGCAUUUAACUACUAUAAUGAAAAUAUUUUUUUAUUUUAUUUUUUUUCUUAGUUUUAGAUAUAAAAUUUUAUUUUUGUUUAUUAAAAUUUGCCUUUAAAUUUAAAUUACAAGAUGACAUUCCUCAAGAUUUCCUUUCAAUUAGUAGUUUGAAGAAAGAAACUCAUUUAAUACUAAUAAAAAUAAAAAAUUAAAAAAAAAUUAAAAAAAUGAAAGAAGAAAAAUAAAAUAAAUUCACACUUCAAAUUAAGCUAUCAUAUAAAUAAAUAUUUUCAUACACAAUAGAUUGAGUGCUAAAAAUCAACAUCAAGUAUGCAAUCUAAACCAAAUAAGAAUGCUUAAGAAAUAUACUGUCAAAAAAAGAUGAUAAAUCUUAACACAACUUAGUCGAACUAUCUUUCAUACCACAAAGGUAGAAUCAAAGAGUAUAAGUAUGUAGAAAAAAUCCUAAAAAUUUACUAAGUGGUGAAAUUGCUAUAGCUAAGAAUUGUUUUAUAAACAUAAGUUUUUUCUUUCAAAAUUGCUCACAAGACAAUCUAACAAGAAUGUCAAGUCAAGGAAGUUUUUCUAUCUAAAUCCUCAAACUCUAGGGGAUACUAACAAGGUUAAAUAGUACAAAAUAUUAAAUAUAUGGAAAUCCACUAAAUUAAUCUAAAGUACAAUUAUCCAAUGUGAUUUGGCAUCUAAUACUACAUCACAUGAUAGUUAUUGUGUAAAUAAAGAUUGUUCUACACAACAUAUUAAGUGCUAAUAAUCAACAUCUAAUAUGCAAUCUAAACUAAAUAAGAAUGUUCAAGCAAUGUACUUUCAAGUGCCUUCUUAACUUAUGAAGAAACCCACCAAUCGACUAAAUUAAUAAUUCACAUAUAAUUGGAGAUGAAUGCCACAAUGAUAUUAUUACAAAAACUGUAUAUAAGUAAGUCAAUGUUAUAAUAGCUAGACCACAAAAAUAUAUGGCAAAUCUGAAAGAAGAAGUUUUCAACUCUUAUCAUCAUGUGAAAUAUGGUUGUAAAACUUCCUACAAUAACAAGAAAUCCAAUUUCUUAAAAGAAGCGACAAAAGUGGUGGUGUUAAGCAUGCCAUAUGUCUCCCAUGUUGGUAUUGAUCACAUAAUAGCAUGAUAGCACUCUAUUUCUUUUCACUACAUAUAAUCAAAAGAAGCCAUCUAACAUAAAUAUUAGUUGAGGAUGUAUAGAUUUAUUAAUAAGAAGAUAAUAAGGAAUACAAUCCUUUGAAUGCUUUUGAUAUUCUUAUCCGAUUUUGUCUUCAAGUAAUAAAAUAUCAUUGGACAACACAUCCUUUAGACAAAAAAGUAUUAAUCUUAUUUUGAUAUUAAGUGUUGUAGGUAUCUUAUAUUAUAAAUAUACAUGCUUUUCUUUAAAAUAUCUUUGUAAUUGAGGUUGAUAAGUUCUAAUACAAAUACAAACAUAUUGAAAAAUAUAAUGAUAUUGAGUAAUAGAUAAAUUCUUUAUGGCCAUAAAAAUAGUAAUUUUAAAGAACCAUGCUUAAACAUAUAGACAUUGAGUCUAAAUAUUAUGGUCAUCUAAGUCUAUAACUAAAGCCGAAUUCUCAUAUAUCAAGCUAGGUAGAAUUGGCUUCAGCUCAUACAAUAAUUAAUAAGGACUAUAGGAUUCCAAAGAUACCUAUUUUCUAAAGAAAUAUUCUGCAGUAAUCUAUAGUAAUAUUAAAUCUUAAUCAUGAUAGUUGCUAAGAAAUAAUCCAUACUUUUACAAAAUAUUCUUGACAAUCUAAAGAACUUUUUCAACUAAGCCAUUUGCCUUAGAAUGAUUUUUAGAGGUGGUACAUUGAUCUAUCAAAAUUUUAGUAUACAAAGCCUCAAAAACUCCAAAGAAUUCCUCUACAAGUAAUAAGGUUAUAUCAAAAGAAAAAAUAUAAUUAAAUUAAGAAAAGCUUUAAUAAAGUGUUUAAACUCGAUAUGACUUAAUUACAUACUUUAUAUUCAAAAAUAUGUGUGACAAUUUGUUGAUACAUGUCAAUCCACCAAUAUUGAUUACACUAUAUAGAAUAUGUCUUAUGUACCUCAAAAUAUCAAAGCUCCUAAUGUACUUGCCACAUCAAAGAAGAUCUCUAAUCUUGUCUUAGAACUAUGUACCUAGUUCCAUCAAAUGACAUACAAAAGAACAAAUAAUUCUUCUAAUGAAACUUUACUACUUGUCAUGGAGAUAUAUAGUUAUUCAAAGAAUUAUCUCAAUAAUAUGAAUAGAUAGCAAUAGAUAAAAGUAGAUAAAUUUGAUAAUAUCUUGUAGAAAAGCUUCAUAGUUGCUGCUUUGUCUUUAUAAGUAUCUAUAGGUGAUUGGUAGAUUAAAAAACUUUGUUAACAAGCUGGCGAUGUAUUGUAUAUGUUGGUAACUUAUGGUAUAAGUUAGCUAUGUAAGGUAUAUGUAUAAAACUUAUUUUACAAGUUAGACAUAUAUCUUCUAAGUUGAGCAUGUAUUGGAGGUUCUAUGGAAUGUUACUAUGUUGCUCAUAACUAGAUAGUAUAUAUAGAGGCAAGAGUGAAGCUUAAUUCAUUCUUAUUAAUUUUUUUCUUGCUUUUAUUCUAGUUUUAAGAGUUUUUAAUUUCCUAGUCUUUAAUAAUAGCCAUUCAAGUUUUUUCUUAAAUAUAUAUAUAUACUUUUUUAUUUAUUUUUUAUUGUCAUCUUUCUUUGAAAAAUGAAUAAAUAAUUUAUUUUUAUUCUUCAAGUUCUUAUCAUUGACACUACUUAGUGAUUAAUCCUAUAUUAUUCCUUAGUAGUUGAAGAAAAUGUCCCUUGUUGAAGCUUGUGUAAAAUUGUAAGAUCCUUCUACUCAUUGUUAAUCACUUGGGUUCUAUUAAAUUUUUCAUUUGAAUAUUAAUCAAGCACCAUAAAUAUAGAGUAUUAAAUUAAAGUAAGAUAUAUUAUUGCAUGCCAUCAUGGAAUUGCUUUUCUAUUGCAAUCUCUAUGCUAUCUACCUUUGAUCAAAUUCUCUUUUAAAAGAAUUGGGUUAUGAAAAAGUCUCUCUUUAUCCAAAUUGAUAAUACUUGUGUGAUUCACAUUUUCAAAGUCAUACUCUUAAAGCAACAAAGUCCAUCUAGCAAGCCUCCCAAUAAAUUUAUUUGAUUCUAUAGACUACUCCAAAGAUUAAUGGUCAAUCACCAAUAUAAACUAUUAUUUAUACAAAUAAGGUUCUAAAUGAGCAAUGGCCCAAAUUACUGCCAAAACUUCUUUCUUAUAAGAUGAAUAGUUAGACUUUCCAUUGUUAUUAUAUCUAGAAGCAAAUGCAAUGUUAUAUUCUUAUUUUAUAUUAUUCUUCUAUAUCAAGAAUACUUCCAAUACUGUAAAGCUUUAGUCUUUGUAUGAUUGAAAAGAUCUAGUAGCAUCUAGAUAUCAAAGUAUUAGAAUUAAACUUAAUUUUUGCUUCAAUGUCUCAAAUGUGUCUUGCUACUCAUGUUUCUAAGUCCAUAGUUAAUCUUUA
Molecule: long non-coding RNA, 71939 nt
Filed under: Physcomitrium patens
Lineage: Eukaryota; Viridiplantae; Streptophyta; Bryopsida; Funariales; Funariaceae
Description: long non-coding RNA (PPAT_LNC006738)
Source: RNAcentral